AAAAAAAAAAAGUAUAAUACAAAAAAUUUAAAAAAUCUUUAAAAUACAGUAUAAUAUAAUAGCCAAAAAAAAUAUCACCCUUCUUAAAAUCAAAUUUGAUAAGAAAAAAAUAAAGGGUUAAUUUCAUAUAUCUCCAAAUAGGGAUGUAAUGUGGGCCGUGCCGGGACCACAUUUUUCGGGCCAUUUCGAGCCAAGGGUCGGCCCGACCCGACCCGGUUAUUAAUUUGGGGUGAGCCGUUCCGACCGGUUUAGCCGGGCUUCGUGCCAACCCAGAUUUUAUUAAAAAAAUUAUUUUUCCCGCUUUUUUUCUAGAAAUUUUUGUUUAAAAAGAAUAAUUUCUUUUUAAAUUAUAGACUUAUAGCUUUUACUUUACACAAUUACACCCAACAUUUUGAAAACUCUUCUAUUAAAUAUUUUUAAUAAUUUUUUAUUAUUUGAAGAAAAAUUGAUAUUUUAAAAAAUAAUUACAAAAAAUAUAUAAAGUCUGUAUUAAUCAUAUUACAUAAAAUUUGUAUUUUUUUAAAAAAAAUUUAAAAAAAGAGUUUUCAUUAUAACUUUUUAACUUAUAGUUUUUAAUAUACACAAUUAUACCCAACCUUUUUAAAACUUUUAUAAAUUUAAAAAAUUUUUUUGUAUUUAUUUUUUCGAAUAUCAAUUUCUCUUCAAAUAAUAAAAAAUUAUGAAAAAAACUAAUAUUAAUUUUAUGUUAAAAAGUUAAAUUUAUUGUGAUUUUUUUAAAAAAAAUUUAAAAAAAGAGUUUAAAUUAUAACUUUUUAACUUAUAGUUUUUAAUAUACACAAUUAUACCCAACCUUUUUAAAACUUUUAUAAAUUUAAAAAAAUCACAAUAAAUUUAACUUUUUAACAUAAAAUUAAUAUUAGUUUUUUUCAUAAUUUUUUAUUAUUUGAAGAGAAAUUGAUAUUCGAAAAAAUAAAUACAAAAAAAUAUAUAAAAUUUGAAUUAAUCAUAUUAUAUAAUUACAUUAGAGAAAAGUACAAAAUUUUUAAAAAUAAAAAAUGUAUUUAAAAUAAAAUGAUAUUGUUUAUACAACCAAUUAGCAAACAAUAGAGGAAAAAAUCAAACAUAAUUUUUUUCUUCAUUACAUCAUUUUUUUCACUUAAAAAAAAGACACCUACUAAUGUAAUUUACUAAAUAAAAAAGAAGAGACGUAAAGACUAAUAGUUUGUUGUGAUACAAUUGGUUGAUACCUGUUCACUGAUCAAAAUGUCAGUGGUUCGAUCUCCCUUAUGUUUGAGCGAUUUAAUUUAAUAUUUUUUCGAAAAAAAGAAAAAAAAAAAAAAAAUACCCAAGACCCAACCCAACGACUAUUGAGCCGUUGUCCUAGCCUUUAGGCCUGGCUAACUUUUGCCUCAAAAGUAUCGAGGUCGUGCCGUGCUGUGCCGUGCCAGGCCUACGGGCCGCUGAAAUGACUCGUAGGGCCGGGCCAGCACGGCUACUAUAGUAGUCGUGGCGGGCCACGACCUGGCUCACAAUUGUGCUCGGCCGUGCGGGCCACGACACUAGCUUUCUGUAAACAUAUCGAAUAGCAAAUAUAUUCCAAGAAAAUUCAACUUUUUAUAUUUAUUUGUUCAAAAGUCCAAUAAUAUUCAUAUUUGAUUUUCUGGUUUGUUAUCAAUGAAGCACUGUUUAUUUUUUAACAAAAGAUAAGUAAAAUGAUACUUUUGCCAUCACAAAUAUGUUCUACCAAAAAUUUCAACUAUUAAAAUUAUAUACAAAUAUCUCUCAAAAAUCCUGAGCGGUCAAUUUUUUUCUUUCUCCCAUUAUAAAUAAUAUAAGAGGCGUAAAAGGUCAAUUUAUCUUAUUCAUUAACCAUGGUUAAGUACUCCACCUAUGAUUAACUAUAUUUUUCUAGCGGACCCUAACAGUAUGGAUAUAUUUGGCAAAGUUAGAAUUUUUAUAGAAAUAAAUAUAAAAGAUUUCGCUUUAAAAAAAUAUAUAUGUUAUUCAAUAUAUUUACGGGGAGUGCAUGUAAAUAACUCAAGAAUAAAAUACUCUAGUUCUUUUUGUGCCAUGAUCGAUUAAAGUGAGUUUAAGUUGCGGUACAAGGGCUGUGAUAUGGCCUACAAACUAUUAUUUCGGGCCGAGUAGAUGUCCAAAAAUCUGAACACAAAAUAAUUAUUUUUUAUCACAUUUUAAAAACAAAUUAUAUUAGAAUUUAAAUUUUAUAAUACAAAUUUAAAUAUAACAUUAACAUCUAUAUAUUAUAUAAUAUAAAACUAGUUUGAAAAGUAGUUUAAUUUAAAAAAUAGUGGAACAUGCGGUCCAUGAGGUGAAGUGGACUUCGUGUGGACUGCCUGAGUCGACCUCAUUCAUUUAUUUCAUUUAUAAAUAAAUUUUAAUUGAAAAUGUGAAUCAAUUAGGAUUUGAACUUAGAAUCUUAGGUACAACUACCAAGUUCUUUAUCACUUGCAAUAGAGACAGUUACCCUUUACCACUUGCGGUGUAUAUAUAUAUAUAUAGAGAGAGAGAGAGAGAGUUGAGCUGGAAUGCUAUCAGUAACAAACGGGUUUCGUUGCCACCUAUUUAUUUUUGAUGAUGAAGCCUCCAAAUCGACGAUCAACACCGUUAGAAUAUAAUUUAUAUCACUUGAAAUAUCUAGGAACCAAAUUUCAUAUUUUUUUCGAUAUUGUUCUCUUGUCCAUCAAGUGGAUACAAAAAUGAAUGACUGAAAAUGAAUAUCCUUUAAAAAUAAUGAUAGUAGUCUUAUAAUGAAGAUUAAGAGUAUAUAUCUUGUUCUAAAUAGUUUAAAAAAUUUUCUAACCAAAAUUUAAUUGAUUCGGAUAUCCUUACGUUGUUAAAUGAGAAAACGUUUUAUAUCUACCAUUAAUAUUAUAAAUAUUGAAACCCUUUGAUCAUUAGGCCAAUAAUGUCGAAAGGAUUUAAAAUUUGGUUUCUAAAUAUUUCGAGUGGUAUAGAUUAUGUUCAGUGAUGCCAAUCGUCAAUUUGGAGGUUCAAUCAUCGAAAACAAAUGGAUGACAAUGGAGCCUGUUUGCAACCAGUAACAUUCGAGCUAAACUCUCUCUCUCUCUCUCUAUAUAUAUAAUAUUUUAUUUAUAAAGAUAUAUUUAUUUAUUUAUUAUAUUAUAUAGUAUUAAAUUUAUAACUUGUAUAUAUUAUACUACGCGUCCGGCUAGUAUAUUAUCGAUGAUCAUUCCCUAUGGUCAGAUCACACUAUUCAACCAGGCAAUCACUCAAUUCUGAAGGACUACUAUCAUCCUAAUCGUACAUUCUUUUAUCCAACAUCCGAAUAUUCGAUAGCAUCGAAAGUUUGGUACUGUCGAUAGUAUAAUAGCAUAAUUUAUUAUAUUACAUACUUAUAAUAUAAAAUAAAUUUGAAUAAAUUUAAUUUAAAAAUAAUAAUAAUUAUUAUUAUAAUAUAUUAUGGUAAUUAUUAUAUAUAAAUAAUAUAUAACAAUAUAUAAUAAAAAUAUAAAAUAUAUUUUUAUCUAUAUUUUUCUUGCAAACAAAAAAAACCUAGCUGAAAUUUUUUUUUCAACAAAUCUAUUUCUAUCUAUUUCUCUACAUUAAAGGAGGGUUUGGGGGGACCUUGGGGUGACACGUGUCCCUUCAAACCCCCCUUUACUCUCUCUCUCUCUCUCUCUCUCUCUGGGUAUACUAUUAUAUAUAUAUAUAUAUAUAUAUUCAUAUAGGUAUCAAAACUUUAAAAUUUGAUACUUUCAAAUUUUAAAUUUAAAUUUCAAAUAAUUUAUAAUAUUUAUUUCAAAUUUAAACUUUAAAUUUAAAAUUUAAAUCUCUAAACUCUAUGAAAUUAAUUAAAUAAUUAAUUUAUUAAUAAAUUCAUUGUAUAUAAAUAUAAUAGUUAAUUAUUAUUAAAUAACACAUAAUAAAUCGCAUAAUAAAAUCUAAUUUGAUCGAUGUAUAAAAAAAUACAUAAUUUAAAUUGAGGAGUAAGAUUUUAGAAAUAUAAUGCGUAUGUGUAUAUAUAUAAAUUAAUUUUAUAAACAAAUUCUUUCAUUAUUUUAUUUCCUUCUAUUUUUUUAAAAUUAUUUUGAUAUAUUUAUCACAAAUCUUUUUUCGCAUAAAUCUUUAUAAAAUAAGUUGUCGUUUUAAUAAAUUUUAUUUAAAUAAAAUUAACUAUUAAAUUAUUUUUAUAUAACUUUUAUUUAAUUAAUAAUUAGACUUAUAAAAUUAUUUAAAAAUAUAAAAAACUAAAAUUUAUUAAAAAAAAUUUUAAAUCCGCAGCAUCGCGCGGGUAUUACACUAGUCAAACAUUAAAGCGCAUAAAAUUCUUUCUUUUUCAAUUUUUUUAUCAGAUCAACCAGCCUUCUCGGAGUUCGGAUUCUUCGCGUUCGGAUUCGGAUAGAGUUUCGGGUAUCCAUACCCGUUAACAUCCCUGUUAAUCAUAGCUCAACUUAUUAGAUCUCAUUCCGAUGCGUUUCUCAAAACUCCUUAGCAUGGUAUGUUUCUAAACCGAAUGGAUCUAAAACCCCUCGCAUCGUCACAAACCCUAGAGAUUUGAUUCGAACUGCGAGGGUUGGGGAUGGGAUCGAUCGAUCCAUCGCCUCCCUUUUCCCUCGCCAAUUCCCUUGUCCUCGUCCGCAUCAUCCUCCUCCUCAUUCUCCUCCAUGUCCCCUCGUCUCACUCCAUCUACUGCGACGAAGACGAUUGCUACGAUCUCCUCGGGUAUUACCCCCAGAUCCCCCUUUUUACGCUCUUUUUGGAUCAAUUAUAGCAAUUUUUGUAGAUAAAUAUGCAUUAGUUUCGAUCUUGGACCUUACCGCUUAAAUUUUAGAGGGAUUGUUGAAUUCGGAUGCAAAACUUUACCGAAAUGAGUUUUUAUAUUUCACGUUGGUUCUGCAUCUCUGCAUCUAAUUUUAGUUUCGGUAUCCAAAUUUGCGAUUUGUUGAGCAAUUUGUUUAAUUUAUAUGAUUCUGCUGUAUUAAAACGUCGAAAUUUGCGAUUUGUUGAGCGAUUUGUUUGAUUUAUAUAAUUUUGCUUAGAAUUAUGACUCUACUUUAUUAAAGCAUCAAAGUUUCUGAUUUAGUGAGCGACUUGUUUAAUUUUUAUGAUUCUACUCUAUUAAAACCGAUGACCCACACCGACUCAUUUUUAUAAUGUUCGUACCUAUUUGAGGCAGCGGGGAAGUACAGGAUGAAAUUAAUGUAAUAUUUUAUGCGGGAAAAAAUUUAUUGAUAUUCAGGCAAAACGCUUUUUUUUUUAGCAUUUACUUUUGUUUCUUGUUAGUGAUUCUUUUUUUAUUUUCUGAUAAUUUUGUUUCCUUCUUGUUCAUUUUUCAGGGUUACACAGAGCGCGAAUGCAUCGGAGAUUAAGAAAGCUUACUACAAGCUUUCCCUUAAAUAGUAUGUUGGUGGAAUUGACCUUUUUGUCUUGCUUAGGAUUUUAGUUGGUAUUAUUACAUCUACAUUCAAAACCUUUUAACUUUUGAUCAUCCUCUGUUUUUUCAGCCAUCCGGAUAAAAAUUCCGAUCCUGAGUCGAGAAAGCUGUUCGUUAAAAUUGCGAAUGCUUAUGAGGUUGGAAUCGACUUUUCAGUUUCUUUUUUUAUCUCUGGUAGGCGUAGGCAUAUGCAAAUUGCAUUUUUUGAGUAGUUUCUACUACUAAAUUGGUGAUGUAAUAUGGAGGAUUCGAAAGAUUAGUGUGAUUGGAUCUGCACACACUUUGUGGUGAGUGAGAUUCUGUUCUCUCAAUCGUGGCCUGCUGCAAGCAAUGGUGCUUGAAUUGUUUGGUAGCGAAAUGCUCUUGAACGCUAUUGUUCAUCAUCGUAAUCAUUGGGUGUGGGUGUGGGGAUCGAUAUUAAACAAAUGCAAGGCUUUGUCGAUCAGUCAAUUUAGCAGGACCUCAGACAUUGUGAGGAUCCAAUCUGUUUGCUGCGUACCAACCCAAGUCGAAGAAGUUAAAGCAAUGGUCAGUGGAGGGAGUUUGACAGUGAGAAGUAGGGUUAGCUUUUGUUAGGGGAGGCCUGCAGGCUUGCACAGAGUUGUCCAGAACGGUUGGUAAAUUUAAAAGGAUUGGAUAGUAGCAAAAGUGAGAGGCAAAUGGCGGUUUGUCGACAGGGAUGAGAAUAUCAGCAGAAGCAAAUGCUCGUUUUUGUUUCUCUCUUAGUUUCCUCUGACCAUCUAUUUGUUCCUGUUUCUCUAAGCAAUUCUUGUUCUCUUGGUAUGUCUAUAAAAAAUCUAUAUCUAUUUCUCUAAGUAUACCUACAAAACCAAGAAACUUAUAUGUGACAGUAGUAGUAGACAGAAAAGAGCAUAUGGUCUUUGUAGUAUCUGAAGUAAUAGAGGCCUUUGGUGUUCGUACGUCGACCUUAAGUUUAUGAAGUGACAACCCUAUGUUCUCUUUUUCGUCCCAUGAACUAAGUUUGUUGAUAACAAGUUUUUAUACCUUUUUAAUCUCUUACAUUUUUGUAUUUUAGUGGUGGUAACAAGAUUAUUGACCCUCUUUUGUACUUAACUAACCAGAUUUUGAGAGAUGAAUCCACAAGGGGGCAAUAUGAUUAUGCAAUUGCACAUCCAGAGGAGGUAACUUUUUGUUAGCAUUCUACAAAUUCUUGGUUACUCUGAAAUUGUCUCAACUAUAUGGCCUUCGAAUCACAUGCUUAAUAUUGUUGUCUAUAAGCUUCUAUAAGCUUCUCCUAAUUAAUAGUGUAUAGUCCGACGCUAGCUCUAGAUUUUGAUGUAUGAAGUUUUGUUUGGUUUCUAUUGGAAGAAGUGAUGUAUGUUUCCUUGUCAUUGUCUUUCUGAAUUGCAAGUCCUUGCAGUUGGUUCUGUGCAAGAUUCAAUUAAUUACUGGAUAUCUAUCAUAACUUAUCUGAUAUCUUUUAGCAUUAUUAGCCUUUUAUUUGCUACACUAUUGUAAAAAAGUGGUGUUCUGCUUAUGCAGAUACAGUUGCUUUAUUGCACAACGUAGACCACAUCUGCAUAUGGCUCAGACUCCUAGUAAUGAGCACACGAGCAAGUCGCCUAUUAUAUUGCAUUUUAUAGUUUUCCAUAUUGGCUCUUUCUCCAUAUUGCUUUGUAUUUGUAUCCUUUAUAAAUUAUCUACGUAAUUCGAUGGUUGAUUAUGCUAUUCAUGUUGUUCAUACCAGUUACUGGUGGCAUCUAUAAAUAUAGCCAUGCCAUCGUACUAGUGAUGCUGUGACAAGCUUUAUUUUGUUUCAGGUAUUUUACAAUACUGCCAGAUACUAUCAUGCAUAUUAUGGGCAUAAAACAGUAAGCUUCUUUGGUUGUUCUACUUUUAUACUAAUCUGUCGUGUCUAUUAAAGAAUGGUAUCGGAGAUGCACCUAAGCUUACCAAUUGUUUCAUAAUUUCUAUCUCGGUAGGAUCCCAGAGCUGUCUUGGUGGGCCUUCUAUUGGUUAUUUCAGCAAUGCAAUAUCUAAACCAGUGGACAAGGUACACACAGGUACUGGAAUAUAUAUUACCAAAGAAUGUUCAUUUAAUGCCUUGUCAAAUAUAAAGCUUUUACCUCGAUGUCUAUAAUUGCAUUUGUUUCCACUGCAUAGCACAUAUGGGAUAUGCAGGCCUGAGCAUAUCUUGGGUCGUCACUUAGAAUAUAUAUAAUGCGAUAGUUUUAACUUAGAACAUGUAUAUAAAAAGCGGGAAAAUUGGGGACUAAAACUGAAACUGUAUACUUGGAUGAUGUCAUGGGCCAUGGCGUGACCAUUUUGUCUAUUAAAAGCUCCCUUUUCUUUCAAGCAAAUUCAAAUGUAUGUAUAAAUUGUCUUUUCACAAAUGAGGAAAAUAAUUUGUGCAUUUUGGGGACUAUAUGAAUAUUGGUUUCUAUUUAGCAACAUUUUCUCUCACGUGUUCUGAUGUGAUUAACUGAAUGUGUAAGGGUUGUGCUUAUGAUACUUCAAAUCUUUUUUCUCUUUUUUUGCAGCAUUCCAUGUGGAAUAUUUAUACUUGCUUGACAUACAUUUUCUAUUUUCUUUAUUUGACAACAACUAGACAACUAAACAAAUGAUCCAACCCAUUUAAUUUGCUAUAGAAGGAUACUGACCAACUAGAUUCUUGUAUACUUAUUUUAGGCUAUUAGCAUGGUCAAGAAGACUCCUGCUUACCAAAAUAGAUUGAAGGCAUUGCAGCUCGAACGAACUGGGGGAAUAACAACCAAGAAGAAGGGUCACAAACAAAUGGACAAGUAUGAAUUUUCUCGAUCCUUUGAACACCACAGAGUUGAGCAAAUUUGAUACAUUUUAUUGUAGAUUUGGUAUCUUGGUUCUGAUACUUACAUAAUAAGCUGGAGUAUUUGUGAAGGUGUUUGAUUCUUGAAAUUUACGUUGCUUCUGGUUCACAUGCAGAAGUUCUCCUCUGUUGUUUUUUCAUGUAAUUGUUAGUUGAUAUAUAUCUCAAAACAGAGUCACUGCAAAGGUAGUUUUGGUUUUCUUCCCAACAAAAUGACUAUGAAGGGACUCUGAAAAGUGUAGCAUUUUCAUAAAAUUUUGACGCAAAGCAGAAAACAAUAAGUAAUGAAACAAAAAAGAUAAUUUAGUGAGAAAUUAUUUAGGACAGGCAGGAGAACUUAAGACUACGUAGCCGACUUAUGUGGAUAUCACUUAAUAUGAGAGUGCAUGCAAUCGUCGACUAAAGCCUAAGAUAAAGAACUUGCAAUCGAGUUUCUUGUAUAUCACCCUAUCUACUUGUAUAUUCUUAUGCUGUUGUUCCUGUUUUCUAGCUUAUGUGCUACAGUGCCUGAUUUACAGCUUUGUAGGUUAAAUGUGCUAAAUGCUCUAAGAAAUAUUAAAAUUUUGAAAUAUAUCUUUGAUGUGUAGCCGCCAGUUGAGAUCUGAUGCUUAAUUAUUCAUCCCAGGAAAAUGGAAGAGGAGCUUGGCAGUGAGCUGGAGUUACAAAUCCAGGGUGCUGACAAACCCUCUGUGUGGAAACUUUACGGUGUUCAAUUUGCGCUCUUACCUUACACUCUAGGAAAGGUUAGUUGGUUCCAUGGAAGCUAAAAUUGUUCUAUGACUUAGUAUUUGGUGUUUUGUUUUCUCAAGUAUGUAUUUUGCAUUUCCAGCUAUUACUCUGGAGAAUAUGUUGGCUUUGGAGUUAUCGGAUAAAGAAAUAUCCUUACUCAUGGGAUGAUGCUUGUUACUUGACUCGGACUCGUCUCAAAAUGCCUCCUAACAUAUGGGAUAAUAUGGGUAAUUAUCAUCAGGAAAUUUUAUGGAAUAUAUUUAGCAAAUUGUUGUACGCGCUAAAAUAAACAUCUGUCGAAGGAUAUGAUGCUUCCUCACAAAGUAUGUUACAAGAUAAGACCUGCCAUUAUUUUAAGUCGGAAUGAUGUCGGUAACGAAUCAUUUCAGACUCCAAACCAUUAUGCCUGAUGAAACUUCCAGUGUCAUCACUUCUCGUCUUAUGUUUCACGCAGACGACUCUGUCAGGAAUGAUCUCGUGUCGAGACGGCUGUGGGAGAAAGGCAACAUGGAGAGCUAUAUCGCAGACAUGAGGAAAGAGUCGAAACGCCGGAGAUAGAUAGUUUCUCGCACAGGUGCAGAACAAAAUGAUGAAGUCCGAGCUAAGCAGAUUUCCCUUUUCCACUGGGUCCUACCAUUCACUUUCGCUUCUUCAAUCCGAAUCCAACGCAAGGGAACGGAGCUUCAAAUGGGGCCCUAGUGCUUUUGUCAACACAUGAUGCGUCACAUGUAGCAAACUACAUACUAGAAGCAGAUACCGGUGGACUUAAAUCUCAAUGGGGAUUGAAUCUCAGAUAGUUUCUGCAUCUGUCUCCGAAGAUACAAGGUGUACUUACCACAAGUUCAGGUCUGUUCUGCUACGGCAGCCUGCAUCUUUUCUUUUCCCAUUUCCUCGUCAUAUUUUUAUCAUCGGUGCAGCUUGUGCCUGUUGCAUUCAAAGAUUAGGCCGCCGAUGAAGCUUUGGCAAAGUCGAAUUCACGAGUGCAUUCGCAUUGCAUGUUAAACUACAACAUAUUUAUUCUGGCUAUAGUAUAAUCUCCAUAACUGGAGUUCUCAUCAACAGAUUCUGCAGCUGUGCUGUUGUGUUAAAUCUAUACCUAUUUGUUGAUGAGCAGAGGCUUCUCCUUCCUGAAAUCCAAUUAUAUAUUUAUUUAUUUAUGCGCUUUUUUUCUUUCUGCAUUCAGCUCUUUUCAAAAAAUAAAUUUUACAAAUAAUUUUAACAAAUUUAUAUUUGCACAUACGGCCCUCUUUUUACCAUGAGAGCGUCAUGUUUGUAUUUUUAAGUUGAACACGGUGAAUGAAUCGUCGUGCUUAAACAUGGUGAUUGAAUCACUGUAUUCACAUCCAUACUCCAGUCCUUUGUAAAUACGGUGAUUGAAUGUCACCUAAACGCUUGCAUGACAACGAGAGGACUACUCAUGCAUGUAUAAAUUUGUUAGAAUUAUUUGUAUUUUUUUUUUUAUUGAGUUGACUAAUAAAUGUAAAAAAAAGUCCGAUAUUUAUUCAUUUCUGGGAAUUAUGUCUGAGCAUGGUAUUCCGCGACCUUCCAAAAAUGUCUAAUUAUAUAAUAAUAAUAAUAAUAAUAAUAAUAAUACAAUAGGGCUCAUGAUAUUUUGGCAAUUAAUAAUGGAUAGUAGCUCAUGAAGAGAAGCCAAACAUUGUGCGUACAAUCUUAACCCUUAAUUGAAAAAAUCUUUACAUAAAAAAAAAAAAAAAAAGAAAAAAAAAAGUGGAGAAAUUGAAAAGGUGUGGUACCCAUCUCUUUCCUUGGCUUUGUCCUGUAAUUGUGCCCCUUGUUCUUCAAAUUUCCGUUCAGCCACUAUUGUUUCUAAUGUACGUUGACAAAGAAUUGAUGGUUGAUAUUUUUUGUUUUCAAAUUUCGCGCUUCAGUAUUGAAUCUUUUUAGUGUAAGUGAUAAAAAAUUUGAUAAUUAAUACGUGAGAUUUUUCACGUUUCAAACCUUAUAUAUAUCUUUUUUAGCUGAAUUAUUUUUUAAAAAUAAAUAAAAUUUCGUGUUCAUCCUCAUACUUAAAUGUCCAUCUCCAUCAUCGAAUAAAAUGACAUGAAUCUUAAAACCACACAGCGGCAGACGAACGCACCGGUCCCCAUCAUUUUUUUUUUUUUUUUUUAUAAGGUGACCCUUAUAUUGGUUUUUUGAUUGAGACCUGAUUAAUAUUUCACUCUUUUAUUUGCAUAUUAUAUUUCUAUUAGGAAAUUAGAAAUUUUAUUAGUCAUCUAAGUCAGUUGCUGACCAAGAUCGUGCCCUCUUAAUUAACUAAAAUUAUUUUAUUUUUUAAAAAAAUCAAUUAGGAAAGUUUGUUUUUUUUUAGUUGAAAAGUUUGUUUCAAACCUGUAGGAUUUGUGCCCUUUUUUUUUUUUUUUUUUUUUUUGGUCCCAAGCAAAGAGUGAGAACAGGCUAAAAAUAAAAUAGUCUCCCUUUUUACACUUUUGCGAUGAUUAUUACGAGGGCCUUUGAAUAAACAACUUUGUGCAACUGCAAUAUUUGACCUACCAAACAUGAGGAUAAAUUAUGAAGAAAAUAAUAAUAAAUGAUAAUUAAAAAACCUACAAACUUAGGUAGAAUCCCAUAAUAGCUUUUAUUCCAAGGACUUUUUCUCUUUCUUUUGUUUUUUUUUGUUUUUUUUUUUGUUUUGCUUUUAUCCCAAAUAUGUGUCAUAAAUUUUUUUGCAUCCAAAAAACGUGAUUUAGUGCUUUUUCACUUUAAGAAACUUCAACCCUUCAAUAUCCGUUAAACUGACCGAUCGUCCCAGCGCAAGUGACAAACGGCUUGGUGGUUGAUACCCGAGGUCCCAAGUUCGAAUCCUAGUUAAAUCACAUUUUCAGCUAAGCUUAUUUCUAAAUGAAAUAAACGAAACGGAUAACAUGUUAACUAUCCGUUAAACUAGUAAUAAAGUUAAAAUUCGAAAAAUAAAACCACAGGAUAUUAAUUUGAUAUACUUUAAACCACAUGAUACUAAAAUGAGAAAGUGCGAAACCACAGGAGUUUACCCUAAAAAAAAAAAAAGACAAAAACAGUGCAGUUUCUGAACCUCCUCUUCUUUGUUUGUCCUUUGGAUUCCCAUGGAAAUUAUUGUCUACACCUUUUGUAUCUCACAAUAAAUAUUUUGAAAUUUAUAUUUUAAAUUGAAAUUAAAUUUAUUAUCUUNNNNNNNNNNNNNNNNNNNNNNNNNAAAUUGAAAGUGUGGGGUACCCAUCUCUUCCUUUGCUUGUCCUGUAAUGUGUGGCUCCUUGUUCUUCAAAUCUUCGCGUUUCACGCCACUUAUUGUUUUUUUCCUAAUGUCAAGUUGGACAAAGAAUUUGAUGUGUGAUAUUUUUGUUUUCCAAAUUUCGCGUUAUAAUAAUCGUUUUUAGUGUAAGUGAUAAAAAAUUUGAAUAAUUAAUACGUGAAUUUCACGUUCAACCUUAAUAUAUCAUAUUUAGCUGAAUUGUAUUUUUAAAAAUAAAAUAAAAAUUUGUGUUCAUCCUCUAUCUUAAUGUCCAUCUCCAUCAUCGAAUUAAAAUCGAACAUAAUCUUAAAACCAUAACAGAGCGGCAGACGGAAAAGCACCGGUCCCCAUCAUUAUUUUUUUUUUUUUUUAAAUAAGGUGGACCCUUAUAUUCGUCCUUUUUGAUUGAGACCUCUUAAUAUCUUCACCUCUUUUAUUGCGAUUAUUAUAUUUUCUAGUUAGAAAAUAAAAUUUUACUUAAGUCAUCUAAAGUCAGUUGCUGACCAAGAUGCGUGCCCUUAAAUAACCUACAAUUAUUUUAUUUUAAAAAAAUCAAAUUAGGAAAGUUUUUUUUUUUAAAGUUGAAAAGUUUGUUUCAAACCCUUGUGUAGAUUGUGCCCUUUUUUUUUUUUUUUUUUUUUUGGUCCCAAGCAAAUGAGUGAGGAACAGGCUAAAAUAGAAAUAUCUCCCCUUUUUUAACACUUGCAUGAUUAUUACGAAGGGCCUUUUGAAUAAACAACUUGUGGCAACUCAAUAAUUUUGACCUACGCAUAACAAUGAGAUAAAUUAUGAAAAAUAAUAAUAAAUGAUAAUUAAUAAAAAAACCUACAAACUUAGGUAAAUCCCAUAAUAGCUUUAUAUCCAAAAGGACUUUUUCUUGUACUUUCUUUUGUUUUUUUUUUGUUUUUUUUUUUGUUUUCUUUUAUCCCAAAUUGUCAUCAAAUUUUUUUUGCAUCCAAAAACGUGAUUUAGUGCUUUUCACUUAAGCAACACUCAACCCUUCAAUAUCACCGUUAAACUGACGCGAAUCUCCAGACGCAAGUGACAAACGCUUGGUGUUAGAUAUCCGAGGUCCGCAAGUUUGGAAUCCAUAGUUAAAAUCACAAUUUCAGCCUAAAAGCUUAUAUUUUAAAUGAAAUAAACGAAAGGAUAAACAUGUAUACUAUCCGUAAAACCUAGAAGAAAGUUAAAUUCCGAUAAAUAAAACCACCAAGGAUAUUAAGUUUGAUAUACUUUAAACCUACAUGAUAACUAAAAUAGAAGAAAGUGGCGAACACAGAGUUUACCACCUAUAAAAAAAGAAAAAAAGACCAAAAAAAAAAACAACGUGCAGUUUCUGAAGCCUCCUCUCUUAUGUUUGUCCUUUGGAUUCCCCGAUGGAAAUUAUUGUCUACACCUUUAUGCUAACUCACAGAAUAAAUAUUUUGAAAUUUAUAUUUAAAUUGAAAUUAAAUAUUAUACUUGCAUUAAACUAAUCUAACUUUCAAAGAAAAAAAAAAACCACAAAGGGGUGGAUUUCAACUAGUUUUUUUUUUUUUUUUUUUCGGUGGUUUACCCUAUUUUUCAAAUUUACUUUACAUUAUUGCUCUGCAGUUUUAUCUCUAUUUCACUAUAAAUAUUUAUUGAUAGCAUUUAAUAUAUUUUAAAAAUUAAAAGAUAAGUUAGUAGAUUACUAUAUUUUGCCACACCCUGUGAUUUAUUGAAUACGCUUUUUUACUAUCUUGUAAUUUAAAGAUUAAUUAUUUGACAAACUAACUUAAGACUAAACUGUUUAAAUUAGUAUAAAAUGAAAUUAUAAGUCGCAAAAACAAAAAAAACUUUUAAAUGAUAGGCCGAUGGUAAAAAUAAAAAUAUGCAAAAUUAUAAAGGGGCAAAUUCAGCCUUUGUUUGGCGUCGUUAUCAUAUUUUUUUUUUUUUUAAACUAAUUUAAUAUAAUUUGAUGAACUAGCAAAGAGAUUUUUCUGUUAUUGUUAUGACUGAUUAGUUUAAACCAAGUGAUAGAUGCCAAUAAUUUUUUAAAAAAAUUAGAAAGCGGAAAAAUAUUAUUUCUUAAUUAUUAUUUUUUGUUUUACAAAUCAAUAUCUUGAAUGAAAAAAUUAUAAACAAUUUACUGUCAACGAGCCGAACAUAAGUGAACUGGAGCCAGCUUCGUGUGCUCGGUCAUGUUCGUUCGUUAUUAAACGAGCCAAACGCAAGCUAGCUCGCGAAUUGCAAGUUAAUCGUCAGGGGUUGGAUGCAAAAUUGAAAGAAAAUUAAAAAAGUUAGAAUCUAGACCUAAUCAUUGAAAUUUACAAAAUAUAUAAAUCUCUUUGGUAGUGUUUGGUUCGGGAACAAGGGGGGGAAUAAGCCCUUGUUCCCCCCUUUGUUCCCAAACGCAACGUUUGGUUCCCGGGAACAGUAGUUCCCGGGAAUCUGGAACUAGCUGGUAUAAGGCUGGAACUGCUGUUCCACCCGUUUCCUGGAACAAGCUUGUUCCUGGAUGAGAACAAGAUUAAUUAAAAUCUAAAUUUAAUUUUAAUGGCAGUAAAUUAUUAAUUAAUCUAAUUAAUAUAUUUAAAUCAUUAUUUAUUACUUUAAUAAUUAAAUAAUUUAAAUAAUUUAUUAUUUAUAAUUAAAUAUUAAUAAUUAGAUAAUUAUUAUUAUUAAUUUAUUAUUUAUAAUUAAUUAUUUAAUAAUUAUUAUUAUUUAUAAUUAAUUAUUAAUAAUUAAUUUCUUAUUUAUUUUUAACUAAUAUUUUUAUUACUAUUAAUUACAUAAUAUAAUUUAAUUUCAAAUUAUAGCUCUUAUUCCUCUUGUUCCAAUCUAACCAUCCAAACACUAUUUGUCUUAUUCCUAGGAACAACCCAAUUUUCAUCCAAACGCAAAAUUGGUCUAGUUCCUGCUUAUACCUAAACUUGUACCUAUCCCUAGAACUAGCAGUUCUUACUUAUACCCGAACCAAACGCAGCCUUUAUAUUUAGAUUGGUAUAUUCAAGCUAUAUCAGCCGAACACGAGCGAUACUGUUAGCUCGUGCUCGACUCGCUAAGAUUUCGAGUUAAAAAAUUCAGUUUGUAUUCGACUCAUUUAUAAAACAAGCGAUCGAUCCCGCAUUUUGAACAUCUAGUUGGAUUGGGAGCCCUGUAUACCAAACAAGUACUUUAAAUUUUAAUUAAUUUUAAUUUUAAAGCUUUUACAAUAAAUUUUUUGUGAGUACGGUGUACGGUGGACCGGGUGCAGGCAAUAAAUGGCUGGUCCGGUUCUCAUGGCGAGUUACUGCAGGCAAUGUCCGUCGCAGACGUGGUGCGAUAUUUACUCUCCCACCUUCCCUCUCUUUUUCAUUUUUUUUUUUUAAAAGAAAAAAAAUAAAAACCAAAUGUAAUAUUAAAAAAAAUAGGAGGUGUAAAAUGAAAAAAAAACAAAAAAAAAAAACAAAAAGUGAAAGGAAAAGCCACCCAACCACUAACCAUUAAGCCCAGCACGCAUGCGCCCUCCACAAUCAAUACAAAGAUAAGGUAGAAAAUUUAUCAGUAGUCCCUGAUCUAUCCCAAUAUUGCAACUCGGUCCAUAUACUUUUUAUUUAAUAUUGGUAAGAACAUAGAGAUAUUAUUAUUACAUAAAUUAUGGAUCAUUUUGAAUCGAUUAGUCAAUUUUUUUAAAUUUUAAUUUUAACGAACUUUUUUGAAUCGACUAACCAACCUUUUUAAAUUUUAUUUUAAUUAAUUUAAUAAAUUUAUAAUUACGAAAAUUAUAUGACGUAAACACAUUCAAAUUUUAAAGUUCAUAGUUCAGAUACGUUCUUUAUGUUUUUACUUAAUAUAUAUAAUGACUUCUCCUUUUUAUUAUCUAUUUAAUCUCAAAUAUAAUAAUUGUAUAUUUAUUUUCUUUUAAUAAGCAGGAGCUACGGAUCUGUUUAAAUACUUCAAAAUUUUACCGUCAAGUAAUAAUUUAUUAUAAUAUAUGAUUAGCGAAUCUCAGUAUUAUAGUAGUGAAAAAUUAUAGAAAUUUAUAAAUUUGAAUUACGAAAUUUUAAGAUACACGAAUUGUACGCUGGUACUCUAAAAAGUCAUCUAAACAGUCCAAUAAUAUGAAUUUUUGGAAAACAAGAGUUAAAAGUAGAGACUAUAUAUACAAAUUUAAAAAUUAUAGGUUUAGUCUUAUAAAUAUAGUGACUAAAUUGCUAUAUUAAAAAACUAUAGGGACCAUUCGUGCAUUUUAACUCUUCUUUGCCUUUUGCUUGCUCACCACCGACCUUCCCCCUCUCUAUCUCCCUCACUACUUUUUAAAAUAUAAUAAUAAUAAUAAUUUUUUUCUCUUGCAAAAUAAAAUUAAAAUAAAAUAAAAUAAUUAUAAAUUAUAAAAUUAUAAAAAUAAAUAAUAUUCUCUCCUUUUUCCCAUUCCUUUUUUUCACCAUUCAUACUUAGGGGUGGAAACGAGCCGAGCUCGAGCGAGCUUAUGUCAACUCAAAUUCGGCNCUCUCUCCAUUUAUCACUUUUUCUUAAAUAAAUAAAUAAAUAAAUAAAUCCAAAUUAGGAGUAAUAAUAAUCACAUAAACUAAGAUUUAAACUAAAUAAAAUUUGAUUUAUUUUACUCCUCUCUUUUUUCUUUUUUUCUUUUUUUCUUUUCUUUUUUUUUGCUGUGUAAAUAUAAAUAGUGUACCCAUUUUUCUCCAACAUAGUAGCAGUGUUAGUGGUAGUAAUUGUACGAGGAAGAGGAAGAGGAAGAGGGGGAGCUCGUCGUCGGGGAGGAACCCGGCGAGGCGCGGCGGAGGGGCGGAGGAGGAGGCAGCGGCGGCGGCUGCGGCGGCGCUCCGGCGACAGGGGCGGCGGAUGAAGCCGUUCGAGCACGUCGGGAUGAUGUGGUUAUCCGCCCUCACCGCCGCCGCGUUCGCGCUCCUCCUUUGCCUCGUGUACUUGAGCUACGGGGGCGGAGGAGGAGGAGGUGGGGGGAGGGGGAGGUUGGGGAUCGAGUCGGAGGAGAAGGGGACGAGGAGCGGCGGAGGAGGCGAUGGUGGUGGAGGAGGAGGAGGAGGAGGAGGAGCUAGGGUUUGCGAUGUGUUCGAUGGGAGGUGGGAGUUGGACGAGGAGAGUUAUCCGCUGUACGAGUCCAAGGAUUGCCCCUUCUUGGACGAGGGUUUCCGAUGCUCCGAGAACGGGAGACCCGAUCGCUUCUACACCAAGUGGGGGUGGCGCCCCUCCCACUGCGACCUCCCCAGGUUCCUCUCCCCCAUACUUUAGAGCUCAUCUUCGUAUUUUGAUUAAUGGUUGGUUUAGAUAAUGGAGUUGUUGUUGCUGUUGCUGUUGUUUAAUCCUUUGAUGAUGAAUGGGCUCUCAAAUUCCGGUUCAAACAUAUAAUUUAAGGCUCAAUUGUUUAGUGAUUUGUUAUGGGGAACUCAGAUUAGGUUUUUGUGGGAAUUGGGAAUUAUGAUUUGAUUUUGCGUUUGUUGGCACAUAAAAAUUGAAUUUAUAUAUAUAUAUAUAUAUAUAUAUAUAUAUAUAUAUAUAUUCCGAAAUUUGAGGCCUAGAAGUAAUGUUCUUUGAUGGUUUAGGGACAAAUCUUUUGGGUGGGUAAAAAGUAUAUUAGAUUAUAUGAACAUAUUCUGUGUUUCCUCAAUUGAUUCGUUUGCUUGGUCAUAUUAGUAAAAUUAAGUAUUUUGUAGGUUGAAUUCGUUAUUUCUCUUUCGUUGUUAAAAUAUUCUCAAAUGACCCAUUAUUAAAAGAGGUGUUCUUAGGCCACUACUUGGAAACUUCACCCAUGUGUAUUCAAAUGCUUCAUCUUUCUUGGAACAUUUAUUAACGUUUGUUUAGUUAGAUAAUUAGAUUGAUGAGAUCGAGGGGGGACAUAUUAAACCUAUCCCUUCUAUCAGGUUCUUCUUGUCCCUUUUACGGAAUCUUGAGCUUCGGAUAUUUUUAAUAUGUAAUGUGAAUUAAAAUUUGUUGGUUGGUCCAAGCACAUUCAGCUCAUUUUGACUAACCUUGUGGUUAGUCUUAGAAGUUUUGGGCUUAUUCCUAAACGGCCGUUUUAAUUUAUCUUUUAUCAUUUUGGCCCACAUUUUUGCUCAGUUCUAUGGACUUUCUCUUUCAAUGAAGGUUUCACUAUCUUAUAAUGGCUUCUAAUUUCUUAAAAACAAAAAAAAAUUAUUUUUGAUUUUUAAUUUAUUAUGUUAUAUGAGUUUUUAGUUUUUGUAGUUUCCGGAUGCCUGCAUCUCCUUGUGAAUUUUUGGUAGUUUCAAGUAUCUCUUCUUUUAAAUCAAAGUUGACUAUUUCUUUUUAUUUUGUCGGAGAAAUUUUUCUUCGAUGAAAUUGAACGGUAAUUCUGGUUUUCUUAGUUAGUUUUCCUAUUAAGUUAAAUAGUGGUAAGAAAUAUUUGUUUCUUCCAAAAAACAAUGGAGUUACAGAGGGGAUUAUUGCAAUUACAUUGUUUCAUUUUCCACAGUUAACUGCAUAUUUUCGUCUAGGAAAACUGCUUAUUCUGUUCGGCAGCUUGCAUUUUUCUUUUUUCUAUUAUAAAUUUUUUUCUGGCUUGUUGUAAACAACAUUAAAACACUUGUAAGCCUUACUAGAAUGUAUUUGAUGCUACUGUGCUAUUAAUUUGAAACCGGUUAUUAGGCAAGUACUUUGUCAAUUAGUGAAAAAUCCGUGCCUGUUAAGUGUUUAUUGCAUUGGUUUUACGAUCGCAUACUGGUUUCAUAUUUCAAUGGGAGUUAAGAGGAUAUUCCCUCUAAAAUCUUCCUUUUUCCCUUUGUUUCCGUUGGCUAAGAUUUAAUGCAACGAAGAUGCUGGAGUUGCUGCGAAACAAAAGACUGGUAUUUGUAGGUGACUCUAUCGGGAGAAACCAAUGGGAGUCCCUCCUUUGCAUGCUUUCGACUGCUGUUCCAGACAAGAAUUCAUCAAUCUAUGAAGUCAACGGCAAUCCAAUUACGAAGCAUAUGGGGUUCUUGGUGUUCAAGUUCAGGGAUUACAACUGUACUGUGGAGUACUACAGAGCCCCUUUUAUUGUGGUGCAGAGUCGAGCCCCAGCUGGGGUGCCCGAGAAGGUUAAGACCACACUUAAGUUGGAUGUCCUGGAUUGGUCGUCUCCCCACUGGAAGGAUGCCGAUGUGCUCAUCUUUAAUACUGGACACUGGUGGAACUAUGAGAAGACUAUACGAGGGUAAUCAUAUAUUUUUUUGCUUCUUCAGAUUAUUUAAAUCUUUCUCUGUUAAAGAGUUUUAAGUACCUACGCAUAGUUAACUUCAUUAUGGUUUAUGGCAUUUGCAUGCUAUGUCAUUUGAGCUGCCUAAUUUAUCAUCAAUUGUUUCAGUUUCAUACAGAGUCUGGACAUAGUGUACUUUGUCUUAGAAAUGCUAUGAUAUAUUUUCUUCGAAGGAUUUUAUACAAAGAAAGGUUACUGGGAAGAGGGACUACAUUGCACUUACUUUGUUGAAUAGCUCCAUUUUCAUUUUUGUUCCUAUUUAUCUUUUCCUUAUAAUUCACCAAUGACAUUACAUAAACCAUGACUUAUUGGUUGGAACCGUCAUUGAAGGAGCACUACAUGUGGGCUUUGGCUGCCGUAUUAACUUUUGACUUAUUGAACUCAAUCUUUUUGCAACCAGGGGUUGUUUCUUUCAAGAAGGAAAUGAGGUUAAGAUGAGAAUGAGCGUGGAUGCUGCUUAUGAGAGAGCAAUAGAGACGGUUUUUAAUUGGAUUCAGAGAGAGGUUAAUAGAAGUAAGACUCAAGUCAUCUUCCGCACAUAUGCUCCUGUACAUUUCAGGUUUGUACCAAUGAUUAGUUAAUUGCUCUUUCCUCUUUCAUUUCUCGCUGUGUUACUCUCGACUUAGGCUUAGAAUUGUGUUGUCAAAUAAUGCGCCGUGCGAUUUAGUUGUUCUUUUUCUUCUCUUUAGCUUAUUACUAAAGUACUUGUCUUGGAGGAGGCUUAUCAUAUAAUUAUAUCGGCAUAAUGUGCAGUAUAUAGGCUUAGCUCUUAUUUAACCGUUUUGAUUGAUGUCGCAAUAGAUUUAUACCAUUUAAAGUAAUACAAGUGAACAUAAAAAUUUAAAUUCUUUGCCGAAGUGUCUUUUUAACCUCAUAAAAUGAUUUCAUGUCAAAAUCUUUGCCUCCUUAGGACCUUUCAUAAUUUUACGGUCUGAUCAAACUAUUUUUAUAGUAAUUUGUGAAUCGAUAAUUCCCAUUGAUGAAAAGGAGGAAAUAAAGGUGCCUCAUUGUUAGAUGCGACGAAAGUUUUGAGAAAUACUUAUAAGCUUCAAGCGUCGCCCAAAUGGUUGAUUAAUGUUGGUUAUCGGCAGCAUCUCUAGUUCUCUUUAGUUGCCCUCAAGUGCUCCAUCCACUAAUGUUGUCCUAUCAAUGAGACCAAUGGGUGGACCGCGAAAACUCUUUUGCCAUAAUAUAUCUGGGCUCUGAUUGUCAGUUUAUUCCGUGAUGUUUGAGUUCAAUUUCAUAUAUGUCCUCAAAACUUUAACUUCGAAAUCCAGAUUCUAGUCAUAUGCAACUUCCUAGGGGCGUUAUCCGCACCGAAAAUAACAUAUCCAACAUAAAGUUGCACAAUAAUACUCAUCUGUUAUGCUUGGUGAACAAGGUGACCUAUAAUUGAUUCUCUAGGUAAUUAUUCCAGAUGACAGGAACUCGAUUUGUUCUUUCGUUGGUUCAUUCUCCAUAUCUGUCGCAAAUUGGAUUUGAUCGGUGAUGACGAUAACCUCGGUGGCCAAAUGUGCGAAAAAAAACUACAUUUCACUUGUGCUCAGCGAUUUUCAUUUACUGUUUAGUGUCUGACACAAGUUCCUCACUUGCAGAGGUGGCGACUGGAAAAUGGGAGGUAGCUGUCACAUGGAAACGUUUCCAGAGCUCCUUACUAAGCCGUCGACGAAGCCGUGGGCUCGCCUGCUGAAACCGUUCACGAACUCUACUAAGUCCGGCGGUGGUACCACCGUGCCGCUCGAGCUCGUGGAUGUGCUCAACGUGACCGAAAUGACGGCUCAGCGGAAAGACGGCCAUCUAUCCGUAUUUUACCUCGGCGCGUCUUCGGGCCCGGCCCCCCUCCACAGACAGGACUGCAGCCACUGGUGCUUGCCGGGCGUGCCCGACGCGUGGAACGAGCUACUCUACUACCUUAUCCUCAAAAGGGCGGAUCGAUCUGUAAUCACCUGGCGAACUUCUUAGAUGCAAUAAUAAAUUCGCCAUUGAUUCAAGUUUAGUGAGAGUAGAAGCUACGUUCGCCGUCGAGAUACCCCUCCUGGCUCAAUUCCCGGAGAACAGCUUCUCUUUGGGCGGGAACAUCCGAAAUGUAGACCACGGCCGAGCGGUUCUUCGCGGUCGAUGACGGAAACGAGAACAGUUCUACCCUUGCUGAAACUGAAUCGCAGCUGAAUCACAAUUUCGUUGAUCUGAACACCACCGCCGCUGCUGUGUCUCCGUACAGAAUUACCAGUACAGUUAAUCUUGUCUGAGCAUGCUUCGAGUCGUCAAUCAGUGAUUGCAAAAUUUCUUCUUCAUUUUUUUUUUUUUUUAAUUCUUAUAGUUUUGUUUCUGCUGCAGGGCUUGUUAGUAGCAAGCUACAAAAUGGUAGCCGUGUAUAGAGAAAGCAAUAGCGUGAUACAUCAGAAUUUUAAUUAUAGAUUCACCUUUGUAAAUGGAUUCAAGUUCACAUGUUUUUAGAAGGUGUUUGGUUUUUCGUAUAUAUAUUUUUUAAAAAAAGUGUAGUGACUUAAUAAUACGUACAAUUUGAAACAAGUGGAGGGACAAAUUGACCUAACUAUAUUUAUUUAUUAUAUAAAAUUAAAAGUUAAUUUAAAAUGUUAGCGCUCGUCAAUCUAAGCUUGACCCGUUACGACCCCUCCCCACCCUUCCGCGCCGUGCGCGACGCGUGCGAAGGUCCCGCCACGUGUGUCACACAUUCGCGCCACGCGUCCCCACACGCACCGCCCCUACAAUCUUCGCACCUCGUUAUAAAAUCCUUCCCUCUCUACGCUCUUCGCACUCACAACCCUUUCAAUUUUGAUGCUCUCAUCAUCUCUCGCAGUUCACAAGAGAACUCCACUAAUACUCGCCGCCGCCGCUGCUUCUGCUGCUUCUGCUUUUCAUCUUUCAUCUUCCCAUCUCUACACAAACAGCAUUGCUGCUGCUGCUGCUGCUCGAAGCUGCCAUUUUCGUGCGGCGAAGAAAAGUAGUGGUAGAGAGAUUUAUCGCGAGAAUUCCGCGGGUGCGCCGCGGCGACGGCCUUCUUGUUCUCCAAGAGGAGAGGCUUUUGCGGUCGCGAGAAGCUGCAGCAUGGCUUCGGGGGGCGCCGCAGGCAGCCAGAAGUUCCCGCCGCAGAUGCAGGAGCGGCAGCCGGGCAAGGAGCACGCCAUGGAGCCGACGCCGCAGUACACUUCCCCUGACUACAAGCCCGCCAACAAGCUCCAGGCCUGUUCCUACAUCUCUCUCUCUCUCUCUAUUAUACGAAACUUAUCUGAAUUAUUGACUAUUUUGAAUCGCCGGCUAUUCAGAUUCUCUAAUUUGUUUGAUUUGAAACCGUCAAUAAUUUUUUAAUUUUAAAAUUAAAAAUUUAAAUCAAAUAAGAUUGAGAAAAUUAAAAUUUGAAAGAUCUGAAUAGUUCUGUUCUAUACGGUGGUGCAAUUGGCAGGGGAAGGUGGCGGUGGUGACGGGGGGCGACUCCGGCAUCGGCCGCGCCGUCUGCUACUGCUUCGCGCAGGAGGGCGCGACGGUGGCCUUCACCUACGUCGAGUCGCACGAGGACAAGGACGCCAAGGACACGCUGCAGAUGCUCCGGGACAUAACGAAGAAGCACGGGACGACCGCCCACGCGAAGGAGCCGAUGGCGAUCCCCGCCGACCUCGGCUGCGAGGAGAACUGCAAGAGGGCGGUCGACGAAGUCGUCGGCGCCUACGGCCGCGUCGACGUCCUCGUCAACAACGCCGGCGAGCAGCACGUGAAGGAAUGCAUCACCGAGAUCACCGCCGAGCAGCUCGACCGCGUCUUCAAGACGAACAUCUACUCCUACUUCUUCAUGGCCAAGUACGUAGUUCAAUGCAACCGAGCUGAACUGUUGAAUAUAAAUAUUAAAAAUACCGUUCUCUGACAGCUUAAACAUGAUAUCUGUUUGUUUGUUUGUGUGUACGAAGGCAUGCGGUGAAGCACAUGACGGAGGGGGGGAGCAUCAUCAACACGACGUCGGUGAACGCGUACAAGGGGAACGCGAAGCUCCUCGACUACACGGCGACGAAGGGGGCGAUCGUGGGGUUCACGCGCGGCCUGGCGCUGCAGCUGGCGGAGCGGGGGAUCCGCGUGAACGGCGUCGCCCCGGGGCCGGUGUGGACGCCGCUGAUAACGUCUUCCUCGCCUCCUUCGCCGACUCCUCCUACAUCUCCGGCCAAGUCCUCCACCCCAACGGUAUGUUUAUGUUUAUGUUUAUGUUAUGUUGCCAUUGUGUAUGUAUUUCUCAUAUAUACAAAUUAACAUUCAUUCCGGUUACGUGCAAUGCCGAUUUCAUAUUAGGGUUAAUUGCGAAUAUGUCCUUACAAAUAUAAUAAAUUAUAAUUAUUUCUCUUUAAAGUUUGACGUUUAGCAUUUAUAUAUAUUUUGUUUCUGUAAAGGCCCUAAUAUUUUUAAAUAUGUUUGGCCGUUACAAUUCGUUAGAAAAAAUUUGUUAAGCAUAGAAUAAAUACUCAACCAUGGUUAGUUUACGAGAUAAUUUGAUAUUUUUUACUACUGGUAUAUUAUACUAUUGUGGUUUUUUAAAAGACAUAUUUGUGAUAAUAAAAUUAAAAAUAUAAAUAUUUGUUUAAUCUUUUUUAAUGGUAACAAAUCAAAAGGAACAUGUUUAAAAGUAUGAGAACUUUUAUAAGAACAACAUAUAAAAAUUGAAUUUUAUUAAAAUAUAUUUGUAAUGUACUGUGCUUGUAGGGAUUAAAGGACUUACAUGCAUUUAAUCCUUCGUCUUAUAUACGUUGAACUUGUACAAGUUGGAUGAUAUUAAAUAAAAAGAAUAUAAAGCAAAGAUGUAUACAUUUGCAAUAAUAUAUAUAUAUAUAUAUACACACACACACGUAUGUAUGUAUGUUGUUGUUGUUGUGUACAAUAUUUUGGGUUCAUUUUCUUAUGUGGAUUCUCUGCUGCUGCUUGUUGCAGGUGGUGUGAUUGUGAAUGGCUAGAGAACAAAGUGUUCAGCAACACCUGUAAAGGUUUAAAGUUCGAGAGAGGGAGUUUUUGGUUUUAAUAAUAUGUAUGAUAUGGAAUAAUAAUAAUUAUUAUUAUAAUAAUAUUAUUAUAAAUCUAGUGACAUGUGGACUAAAAUAUAAUGUUUCAGCUAUGUUGGUUUGUUGUUGUAGUUCUCAAAUUGUGUGUCAAUUAAAUAUGGUGUAUGGGCAUAAUAAGUAAAGUUGUUAUCAAGAAUCUCUUUUCCUUUUUUUUUCUCCCUAGAUUGUAUGUGAAUUGGUACUAAAUUUAAAAUUUCGUUGUCAUUCAUUUGUUUUCAGUCAUGAAUUUUUCAAAUCGAUGAUCGACAUUAUUGAAUAUGAUCUAUAUUACUUGAAAUAUUUAAAAAUUAAAUUUUAUAUAUUUUUUUUAAUAUUUGUUUUUUUUGUCCAUCAAGUGGAUAAAAAUAAACGGCUGAAAAUGAUAUCUUUUAAUCUAUAAAGAACUGAAUGUCAGUCAUGAGCAGCACUACAUCUGAAUAAUUCAUCUUAAAUCCUCUCAACAAUUAUAUUCAGUAAACCUGAAGAUCCCCUAUACUUGUACUGUAAUAAUACAGUUUCCUUGAGCCAUUAAAGAGAAUGAAAGAAACAUGAAUUCUCUGACAUAGAAAGGAUAUGAAUAACCUCUCUCUCUAUCUCCACAAUCUAGUGGAAGAUGGAGGCAACAAAACCGAAGAUCUAAGAGCUGCUAUUCUAAGCAGCACUUUCCGGCUGCCGCGUUCUCUCUUCUCGUAUACCACUUCUUACUUUCUGCAGUCGCUUCGACAGACGCCUUUCACUAUCGAAACUAGGCGGCGGGAGAGUGCACGGGUAAGUAGGAGACGGAGAAGCGGCCGACCGUUCCAGGAACUGCCUCUGCUGCUCGUCUGCGACGCAGAGAAGGGAGUCGACGCAAACUUCUUGCGCUGACGGAGGCGGGGUCGGCUUGAAGUCCAGCAGUUUCGAGUACUCCACUAUGAGGUGGUACAUGUAGUCGUACACGCGAUCCAUGUCCAAGUCCUGCAUCAGUUUCUGUCCCCGUUUUCCGAUAGCUUCCGCCUGUUUGUUUCAUUAUCAUCCGAGAAUCUCACAACAAAUGCAGUAGUAUUGACUCGCAAAAUAGAGAUCAUAUUUCAUAUCUGAUGUUAGCAUCUGAAAAAUGAUGUUCGUUUGUGUGGCACUUUUCCGUAAAGCAGGUAAACUAACAGAAUAAUUUCGUCGUCAGAAGCUGUAAACUUAACUUCGAGGACGCAAUUGAGACGGCCGUCGCAAAGUUUUUCAAGAACUAAACUUGCAGUUAACCACUGACACAAGCAUCAGAAAUUGCAGUUUGCUAUAGAAGCUGCUUAGCAAGAUUAUCAGGUUGAGCAGAUACAAACAAUAAGCACACUGCUCGACUUCGAGAACAGAUGAAACUGACCAAAAAUUGUAAGUACCUGGGACGGGUGCGCGUUUCCCCAGUCGACCGCGGACUUUAUGGAUCGACACAAGUCGGCGGAGCUGACGGGCCAAUAGUUCUCCUUCGGAACCAGGCCACGGCUGAAGAAAUCUUCGUACUGGGGAUCGACGACGAAGGCUAGAGAUCCACAAGAGAGAAUGUAUUUCAAGCUAACCGACCACGCGUAACCCUCGGCGUAAAUCUUAUAGCUGCGAAAGGAUCAUUAGAAAUAAGAUGGGCUGCGCAAACGAAAAGAAGUUGAAUAGUUUCAUUCGCUAGUAGCUAAGACCGACCGGUGGUUGCAUUGGCUCGAAAGCUUAGAUUUCUGAAAACCGGAGCUCGAUUCUUCGCCCCAAUCCUGCGAAGGGAUAAGAAGACGCAUUUAGCCACAUCAAAUGGCCAAAUUGGCGAGAGAAAUUGCAGUGAUCAGCACAAAUUAAGAUCCAAUAUCGAUACUUGACGCAUAAUUCGGGCUCCCCAUGUCUUAGAGUCAUUACAGCUUAGCAGCGCCGUCCUUACGGGGGAUUCGACAUUUGGGUUUCCCUUCCAAUAUGCGGUUUUCGCCCUCUUCUUCCAUUUCACGGCUUGAGCACCGAGCUUUAUGCUUCUGAACUCUUCGUUCCACGGUUUUAUGUUUAUCUCCGGCCUGCACAACCGUUUGCGUACGAAAAGUGAGAUUUGCAGGGUAGUUUCUUACUUACUGCGAAGAGCUGACGAAAACGCAUCAGGCGACGAUCGUUUUAGAAUUACAACCAUUCCUUUUACGAAGUUUUCGAAUUACCGACGAAUGCGAAUCGGAAUGAAUUUCAGUAAAGCAGGCAACAAAGCAGUAUAUCAUAUAUGCAUUAUUGAAAGAUUCAUACAAAAAUUGCAUCUUUGUGUAGAAUAAUAAUUCGAGAAUUCGCAAUGCUUACCAACCCCAAAAGGACCAAUCCGGAAAGGGAAUGUCGAAAUGGUCCUUAGUGGUGCAGUAUCGGAACAGCGGCGGGGGGAUCGGGGCGUCGGGAUCGUUGCUGCGGUAGUCGGAUCGGUUGAUCGCGGGGCGAUCCAUGCAGUCGAACAUGAGAUCGGCGUCGGGGAGGAUGCCGGGGUAGCGGCGCAUCAGCUGCAGGAUCCCCCACACGGUGAAGAGGGCGCGGCUCUGGACGCAGGNAUAAGAAGACGCAUUUAGCCACAUCAAAUGGCCAAAUUGGCGAGAGAAAUUGCAGUGAUCAGCACAAAUUAAGAUCCAAUAUCGAUACUUGACGCAUAAUUCGGGCUCCCCAUGUCUUAGAGUCAUUACAGCUUAGCAGCGCCGUCCUUACGGGGGAUUCGACAUUUGGGUUUCCCUUCCAAUAUGAGGUUUUCGCCCUCUUCUUCCAUUUCACGGCUUGAGCACCGAGCUUUAUGCUUCUGAACUCUUCGUUCCACGGUUUUAUGUUUAUCUCCGGCCUGCGCAACCAUUUGCGUACGAAAAGUGAGGUUUGCAGGGUAGUUUCUUACUUACUGCGAAGAGCUGACGAAAACGCAUCAGGCGACAAUCAAUCGUCUUAGAAUUACAACCAUUCCUUCUACAAAGUUUUCGAAUUACCGACGAAUGCGAAUCGGAAUGAAUUUCAGUAACAUUAUUGAAAGUCAUAUAUGCAGGGCAACAUUAUUGAAAGAUUCAUACAAAAAUUGCAUCUUUGUGUAGAAUAAUUCGAGAAUUCGCAAUGCUUACCAACCCCAGAAGGACCAAUCCGGAAAGGGAAUGUCGAAAUGGUCCUUAGUGGUGCAGUAUCGGAACAGCGGCGGGGGGAUCGGGGCGUUGGGAUCAUCGAUGCCGCCGCCGACGUCGCUGCGGUAGUCGGAUCGGUUGAUGGCGGGGCGAUCCAUGCAGUCGAACAUGAGAUCGGCGUCGGGGAGGAUGCCGGGGUAGCGGCGCAUCAGCUGCAGGAUCCCCCACACGGUGAAGAGGGCGCGGCUCUGGACGCAGGCGUAGUAGAGGUCGACGAAGAGGCGGCGGCCGCCGCCGGCGACGACGACGCGCAUCGCGGCGCGCCGCCGCGCGUCCUCGAGGAGCGCGGCGGAGAUCCGCGCUCGCCGCCACGGGGCGAGGUCGCGCCGGAUCGCGCGGAAGAAGCCCGGGCACGCGGGGCGCGGGCGCGCGGGGUCGGGGGCCGAGGAGGAGGGGAUUUUCCGGCGAGCGACGGCGGAGGAGAGGGGGCAGGAGAGGUAGGCGCAGCGGAGGAGGGAGAGGUUGGGGUUGGGGUUGGGGUUGGGGUUGGGGCGGGGGAAGGGGUGCCAUGGGGUGGGGGCGAGGUUGUGGCCGGUUAGGGUUGGGGUGCGGGAGGAGAGGGAGGAGAGGGAGGAGGUUAGGGUUUGGAGGGAGAGGAGGAGGAGGGCGGCGGCGGCGAGGAGGAGGGGGAGGAUGAGGCGGCGCUCCACGCCGCCGCCGGCGGCGGCGGCGGAGCUUCUCGUCGGCGACGGAGAAGACGACGCCAUUGACGAGCUUGAGUCGACCGUUGGAAGCUAAAAGCUUCGUAAUAUUUGGAACAGGACUACACGAGAGAGGGAGAAGGCGCUUUAGCUCACAAGCCCCUCUUAGUUUACAUAUUUACAGUUUCACUCCAUCCUUUUGGUUUCCAAAGUACACGUAAAAUUGCGUAGGAGGCCUCUAAUAUUCUAAUUAUUGUAAUUAGGGUCUUUGCCGCUUAACCAAAUUUUAACUAAGUUUCUAGUCCCUCUAAAUAAGACGUGUAUACUAAUAUUUAUUUUUAGUAUAGAGAAUCAUAAUUCAUUAAGACAUUUUAUUUAUUGAAGAAGUGUCACAUAAAUUUAUUAACAUAAUAAUUAAAUCGAAUAGUUUAAAGAGUCAAAAUAUUUUUUAAAUGUACCACAUAUGGAAGGAACAUUCAUCAAAAAUUUCAAAUUAAACUAAAAAUAUAAAAUUAUACGAAUAUAAAAAUAUCUAUAAAAGAAUAUUAAAAGACGAAAGUAUUAGAAUAAAAGAUAAAAAGUGGUUGCAUAAAAUUGAGUACAAACUUAGCCUCAAAGAAAAUUAAAAUAUGAAAAUUAAAAAUAUCUAUAUCUUGAACCCUCUUGCAUACUGUAUUUUUUUACACAAAAUGAUUUUACCAUUCAUUAGUAGAAGAAUAAAAUUAGAAAUUUUCAAUAUGAACAAUUUAGAUGUAUCAAUAAUAAAAUAAUUUUGCGUAUAAAAAAAUUAUAUGUAUAGAACUGUACAAAAACUGCGCCUCUCUUUUUUAACCUAAAAACUAAAUAUAUAUAUUUCUAUGCGAUUGAUAAAAACCUCUAACCUUUUAAGAUGACACACAAAUAACAACAACUGGGAUAAAGUAACUUGUGCUCCUUAAUUAAGUGAGGAUGCAANCGGCGGCGGAGCUUCUCGUCGGCGACGGAGAAGACGACGCCAUUGACGAGCUUGAGUCGACCGUUGGAAGCUAAAAGCUUCGUAAUAUUUGGAACAGGACUACACGAGAGAGGGAGAAGGCGUUUUAGCUCACAAGCCCCUCUUAGUUUACAUAUUUACAGCUGCAAUCCAUACUUUUGGUUUCCAAAGUACACGUAAAAUUGCCUAGGAGGCCCCUAAUAUUCUAAUUAUUGUAAUUACGCUCUUUGCCGCUUAACCAAAUUUUAACCCAGUUUCUAGCCCCUCUAAAUAAGACGUGUAUACUAAUAUUUAUUUUUAGUAUAGAGAAUCAUAAUUCAUUAAGACAUUUUAUUUAUUGAAGAAGUGUCACAUAAAUUUAUUAACAUAAUAAUUAAAUCGAAUAGUUUAAAGAGUCAAAAUAUUUUUUAAAUGUACCACAUAUGGAAGGAACAUUCAUCAAAAAUUUCAAAUUAAACUAAAAAUAUAAAAUUAUACGAAUGUAAAAAUAUCUAUAAAAGAAUAUUAAAAGACGAAAGUAUUAGAAUAAAAGAUAAAAAGUGGUUGCAUAAAAUUGAGUACAAACUUAGCCUCAAAGAAAAUUAAAAUAUGAAAAUUAAAAUAUCUAUAUCUUGUACCCUCUUGCAUACUGUAUUUUUUUACACAAAAUGAUCUUACCAUUUAUUAGUAGAGGAAUAAAAUUAGAAAUUUUCAAUAUGAACAAUUUAGACGUAUAAAUAAUAAAAUAAUUUUGCGUAUAAAAAAAUUAUAUGUAUAGAACUGUACAAAAACUGCGCCUCUCUUUUUUAACCUAAAAACUAAAAAUGAAAAACUCAAACCUCAUAAUUUGAAUAUAUAUUUCUAUGCGAUUGAUAAAAACCUCUAACCAUUUAAGAUGACACACAAAUAACAACAACUGGGAUAAGUAACUUGUGCUCCUUAAUUAAGUGAGGAUGGAAAUGUAAGGUUUCGAGGGACGGAUGUAAAAAUUAAAAAUUUACAAGGACGUACCCGUAAUAUUCCCCGUUAUAAAAGGCGCCUCGACACCGGUUCCCGCGCCCCCACCUCGCGACUCGGCAAUUUUCGCGCCCUUUUCUCCCUCCUCGCUCCGACGUUUUGGCGCGAAAUCUCAUGCCUAGGGUUCGGAUCUCAAUCCCCAGCAAUGGAGACCCCUUUCGCUCGAUCCCUUCUCCGUCUCCGCCUCCGCCAUGGAUCGGGAGAGAGGCGACGCUCCUCCCUACGAAGGCGCGGUGCGUCCUCGAUUCUCCCUUUUUUCCCCGAUUUUUUACGAUUGUUUUGUGAUUUUUUUGUUGUGAGGUUGCUAAUUUUAGGGUGGAAAUCGAAAUUUUCGGCGUUUUGAUCUCAUUUACGAGUUGGUGGAUUGUAGGAAUAGAGUAAUUGGAUCGAAUAGAGGAGAAAACUUGUUGCCCUAGUUGUUAAAGAAUCUCGAUUCAUAUAUGCACGCAUUUGAACUGUUGUAUUCCACUCAUUCUUCAUUUAGAAUUGGUUCUUAUUCUCGUGAAUCGAUUGGAAAUUUAGCAUCUAUCUUUGGGUCAAUUCACGUUUUAACCGACCCUUUUGAUUCAAUAGCCCCAGUGCCCCUGCAGAGUGAUCAAAUUUUAGUUAAAAUCGAUUCGAAGUAGCAAUUGACCAAAACGUAGCAGAAAUUAUAGUUAAAGCUUUGUCCUUUUCGAUAGUUUGAAUCAUAUUAUUUUCAUAGUUAUAAUCAUUUUCCCAGGAAAUGGUAUCACAUUCUUUCAAAUUUUCUCUUUUUUUUUUUCUGAAAUCUACUUUUCCUUUCAAUAUCAUACUUCUAUCACAGUAACUUCUCUACCUCAACACCUGCUCCUUUUGUCGCAUCAGAGUUUCGGUGUAGUUUAUGGUGACCUGAGCAUUUCUCCUCUUUAUGUAUAUAAAAAAAAGAGCAUUUUCUAGGAGACUAAGCCAUCACCAUAAUGAGCAAACAAAAUUUGGUGUGUUUUCCUUGAUAUUUUGGACAUUCACUUUGCUUCCCUUGCUCAAGUACGUUAUCAUUGUAUCGAGCGCUGACGAUAACCUAGAAGGUGAGCAAGGAAAUGCAUUGCUAUUACUGUAUAAUACCUCAUUAUUUGUGGUGAUAUACAUAUUGUUUAUAGGGGGAAAUUUUGCUUUGUACUCUCUCCUCUGCAGGCAUGCCAGGUUCAGUUUACUUCCUAACCAGCAAGCAGCUGAUGAGGAACUUUCAUCGUAUUACAGACCGGGAUACACAAUUCGGAAUACUAUGUCCUCUGCAUUGAGACGGCUCUUUGAAAAGCAUAGGUAAGUCGAGAACUUGCUUAUGGUGUUCUUCGGAACUUCCAUGGUAUAUUGGUUAUGGUGUUAUCACAACGGUAAUAUUUUGUAGUACUACUGCAUAUGUUUGAUCUUCCCUCAAUCUCUUUGGAUCUUAAUUUGCUUUUGCUGCUAAAACCGGUUGCCAUUUUUUACAGUUCUAUCAUCUACUUCUGGUCCUCAAAUUCGGGCAAAUAGGAUUGACUAAUGGUUACUUUGUUCUAAUUUUAAAUUUAGUGCAGUGGAACCCUAAUAUAUGGAUACAGUUCAUAUUUUACUUGAUUUUGGGCAUAUUAUGCUGUUCUGGAUGAUGGAUCUGACGAAAGAUUCAUAGAGCCUCUUAGUUCUCUGUGAAUUGCUCAUAGUUAAAAAUUUAAUCUUAAUAUGCAAGCCUCCAAAAAUAACACAGCUGUUUAUCACCUCUCCAUCUGUCAUGGCUUGAAAAUCCUAUCAAAAUGACGAUUUGUUCCGAAAGGCCCAGCCCCUGCAUUUAGAAACUUAAGAAAAUCAAUGUCGCAAGGUAAGUUACUGUUAUACAGUAUUAUGUAUUUCUCAGAUAAUACAUUAUCUCGAAUUUUUUUCUCUAGAUCUCCUCUAUAUAAGAUGAUUAUGUGCUAUAGUUUGGAGAUUCAGUUUUUCGGAAAUUAAUACUUCCAAUGUUAUGUAGGUGCAUAUCAUCUUGAUUGUGUAUGUAUCUACCUAAGUUCUUUACUCUUAUCUAUUAAUGAUGUAUCCUUCUUCAAAUAGCUUUCUGUUUGGAACUUUAACAAGUAAACAUUUUCUUUUUUCGUUUCUUGCUAAAAGGCGAGGCUGCACUAGUUGUCUGCAUAGUGCUGCUUCGCCUCUUUGCUUCGCAGCACAGGGGCACUCAGAGAGUUGCCUUCCUGUUUCAACCUGUUGUUAUCAUUUGGCUCUUGCGUACCGGCGUAAUCAGCCUGUACAACAUCAUUUACUGGAACCCCGACACGUAUUUGUGCUCUCUCUCCAUAUUACAUGAUUAAAUUCUUUACAAGGACCGGGACAGACGGAUGGAUAUCUCUCGGCGGAGUACUUCUUUCUAUGACAGGUAUCUAAUUUGCUAUGUUAACAUUCAAGCAGAAUAUAGUGCUUCUUUUUCUUUUUCUUAUGUUAUGUGGCAUCUGCAGGUACAGAAGCUAUUUUCGCAGAUCUUGGCCUCUUCACUGUUGCAUCCAUCAGGGUAUGUUGCAUUAUGAUCACUUCUUAAAACAAAAUACUAUGAUUUCUUUAACAGCAGACUAUCUGCAAAAAGUUAUAGAAAAACCGAAUGAUUAGGCAAAUAUUGUUUUCUAAAAGAGAAAUGAUCUACAAAAUGUCACUCUGCUGAUCAGAGCAAUCACUGGUUCAAAGAUAACAUUCUCUCUUACUAAUUGACGCAUUAUACGUCUCAAGCAUGGGAGGUAUCCAAGCAUUGAAGAUAUUGAAGGCAAUAUACUAGAUUAAUUUACUAGAGUAGGGCUGCUGUAGUCUUAUGAGUAUAGUCCUUCGUACUCACAAGUCGUUUUCAAUGAUAAGGCUUCUGAAUCGACGAUUCACUUCGUUAAAUAUGAUCUAGAGUAUUUAAAACUUCUAGAAUAUAAAUUUCGUAAUUUUUUGAAAUCAUAAUAAAGCCUAUCAAGCGGGUAUUAAAUGAACAGUCAAAAUCGAACAACAUUCGAAAAAUGGAUGAUCGGAUUCUUCAAUUUAAGAUCAGAGUUAUUAAUCUUUACCUAGAUAGUGAAUAGAAUUUUUUAUGAAAAAUUCAACCUAGUUCAAUUCUUUUAUACCGUUAAACUAGUAAGUAUUUCAUAUCGGCCGUUAAAAAUUGUCAAUUUUGAAAUCUUUUGAUCGCAAGGUGAAUAAUGUCGAAAAAUUAUGAAAUUUGAUUUCUAGAAGUUUUAAAUAUUCUAGAUAAUGUUUAACUGUAUAAAUUGUCGAUUUAGAAGCUUUAUUAUAAAAAUUGACUUAUGAGUACGAAGGCGAUCGUACUCAUAAGAGUAUAAUAGCUAAACUCUAAUUUACUAUAGAUCCCUUUUUAUAAAAAAAAAAAAAAAAAAUUGUAAACUUCCAAAUAUUGCAUAAAAACCCUUGGUAACUUGUUAUUUUCAUGACGGCCCAUCUAUAAUCAUUCUCGGUUGUGCGUAAUAUCAUUCUCUCUCUAGUCGAAAAAGGAUGGCCCAGAUCUCUGUAUACCUGAAAUCAACAGGAUCCUCAUGCUUCUUUGCAUGGCAAGGCGAUUUCAGUUUGCUGUUUGUCUGCUGUCGAUUUCUUUACAUGCAGAAAGUUGUGUUAGUUCUUGUUUUUUUUUUUUUAAGUUCACCAGUCUUCCAAACUGCAAUUCUGGCCGAGUCGAAGAUUGUCAACACGGCAGCCGAGAAAGACAAUUUUAGAUUUUUAGAUUUUUUUUUUUUUUUAGGGUUUCCGGCCGCUUGUAAUCUGUAUUUUAAAUGUUUUAUUAUACUUUUCUCUCUCUUGCAAAUUAUUUUCCUUUCCUAAUUGUAUAUGAGGUAAAUUAUGUUAUUUAAGAUUUAGCAUUCUAUCAAUUUAAAAGUUUCCAGUGAUUAAAGGGCUUUCACAAAUCUAGUUCUUCCUAAUGUAUUUUCUAAUGAACUCCCUCAGUAAGCUGCUAUAUAAAUAAUAAGUAAAAAAAUAAAAAAGAAAAAGGGAAAAUAAUAUCAUACACCCUCCCCACCACACCACACCACACCACCCUUCAAAACAUGAUAUUUCAUAGAACCUACCCAUCGUGUACGAAAUCCAAAAUAAAAAAUAAGAAAGAAAAAAAGAAAAUUUGAGUAGGAUGAACAAAGAGAGUGCAUUUACAAUGAAUGCUCCAAUCUAACAUCCAUAGAGCAGCAAAAAUUGGACACACAACUUUCAACCAGAAGAAACAAAACAGUCCAAGAAAAUACCAACCGCCAUACCUACUUGACAAAAUCACAUCCGUCGAACCGUACAGUUCGCACAACAAAGCUGAUCACUGCACAUUUCUUCAACUAUACUAAACCAAUAUACGGACUAAAUAAAAGCUCAAGCAUUUGGAAACACCGACCAACUGAAACAUAACAGAAUGUAGAGCGAAGAACAUUAGCCUCCCUUCGAACCAGAGCAGUAAGGGAGAGUCCAUACAACAACCUUCGAUCCCCUUCCGCCUCUUCAAGUAAGUUAUUUUGUAGCAUCGAACGAACAAACUCCACCUUGGUCGCAAUAACAUAAAGAGACGUGCAAAGAGUGUUUAUUCGAAACUUCGUCUCACUGCACGAUUCGUCUCCCAUGGGACAUUCAUUUAAGUUAAGAUCAUAACAGAGAGGCAAAAGGAUGUUCAAAGUCAGGAAAGAAUAAUUUCUUUUUUUUACUUUUUUUUCUUUUAACUUCAUGUACUGCUUGCUGAAUUACAGUUUUCAUGGCCCCACCAGUGAUGGUUUUCCAUGGCAUUACAUGAAACAGCAGCUCCUUUUCGCUCCGUACUGCUUUCUGCUUUUAGACCAAUAGGAUGAAUAUAAAAGAUCAAGCCCCUUAGAUCAUUCAGCAGGAUGUUUCCGAUAAAACAGGAGUAAGGACUUGGAGACAUUAUCCGAGUAAUAGAACAUAAAAGAAAAAAAAAAAAAAUUGAAACCAGAAAAGAAUAAGAAAAUUUGAACAUUUACAGACCCCCUAGUGGCUGGCUGUAACACAUUAAAAAGACAAUGCACAAAUCCUUAUCCAUGCUCCAUCCAAUAAAGCGUCAAAUGCGAAAACCUCAGGCAAAGUAAUAAAGCUUGCAAAGUUUUCCUGUUCAUUUUUCACAAAAUUGGUAGGUUUAAAUAGCAGGUCGUUGUUUAGGCAAGCAAAAACCUGAAAACGUCGCUUAGUGAUAUUAUGCCCUCGACACGCUUGCUACCGGCCUCGACAAUAAUCACACGGCGAACACCUGAAAUAAGGGAAAACUGUACAGGUAAGAAAUGAAAACUCCAAUUGUUUUCUUCCGUUUGUUUUCUUUAUCUAUUGAACAUAACAGAAAACUCCGACUGUGAGAUUUGUAUUCGCAAGUGUGAAAUGUUACCGGGGCUUGCCAAUCGCUCCAUCACUUUAAGCAAUGUAUCAGAGCGGAGGCACAUUUGGCAUCUCUGUCCAUAGAAGAACCUGUGCGGCGAAUUCGCAUCUUGGGCAAGUUGCAGUGCCUGUGAAUUAUGGAGAAUGAAGCAAUUACAUUGCUCACUAAAUCUCCUUUUGUCUAAAGAAUGUAGCAAACUAAGGCCUCAUUCGGCAUCAUGUUUGUUUUUUGUUUUUUUUAAGCAAAAUUUUGUAUAUCAAAAGGUGUAGAAGUAGACAGUGAAUUGUUUGCAAUCUUUUCAUCCAAAGUGUUUACUUAGACACAAAAAAAAAAUAAAAAACUUGCAAACAACUUUUUUUACUUAAUUUUUUUUAACAAGUAAUCUACCACUUGACCGGAUGCCUUGUAAGCUAACCAACUAUAACAACAAGACAAGUCUUUCUUCCAACACAUCAAAUUAUAUAGAAUUAGUGUUUAAAAAAAUAAAAAUAUGACAACAAUAUCAAACGAGGCCUAAGUCAACAAUUUUUUAGACAAAUUAUGGAAAACUCUUUCUAAGUUGACAUAAAACAAAACAGGUUUUCGUAUUACCUGAUGGAUACUCAUCUCAUCAAGGUGAAUAUGGGUAUAAGCUCUGUCUUUAGCCAAUGAUGUGAUGUCACUGCGGAUGGAAGAGCAAGCACUAGUAAUUCCACAGAACUUGUUUUUUUUUAAAAAAAAAGACUCCAGAUAUCAAAAGGUUGCCAUCAGUUGUACCUUCUAGAAUAUGUAUCCAGCAACGAGUCAUUGUCAUCAACAAUAGGUAUUGAACUUACACGAGCUGUAGUCAAUAAACACAGAAACCUAGUGUAAGGUAACUACUAUGAAAUUGCAAGAGAAAAGUAGGAGCUAAUAAAGUCAGUGUUGCAGUCAGAGUACACUGAAAUCUGAAAUAUUCAAAGGCAUAAUUCCAAAGAAGAGUCUCUACUUACGAGCGCUUAAGGCACACUCAGUACACACAUCCAUGUAUACAUACAUAAAUCUUAGCAUAAGUAUAUAAAUACACAAAUCCUCCUCCCUUCCCCCUCCCUCAUGUGUCUCACAAACUUAUCUGACGAUAAUGGAAACCCACAAUACCAGAAAGUCCACAUCUAGCUGAUACAGGCACAAGAAGGUAAAUGAUCUCUAGAACUUACAAUCUCAGUUGAAAGAAAAGUCGAACAUGCCAAAACAAAAUUAAAGUAUAAUACUAGAUUUAUAUUUAACAGGAAAUUCACUAUCCGGCAUUGCUUGAGAAUCUGAAUAAAUUGACAAAUUGUGGUCUCGAAAAGUUUAGUUUCAACCUUGAACCAACAAAGAAAGAGCAGAGCUGAGUGACGCAUUUGGUCUCAACAUGGCCAGUGGACGCCCACUUGGAUCCCCAAUUUUAGGAACCCAUGUACCCAAAGGAAUUGUACACACUGGUUGCUGUAGAGCCGGCAAAGCACUAGAAGAGUGUUUAAAGUACCUGCAGAUACCUGAAAAUUAACAAACAAAAAGAAAAUCUAAGAAAAAAUAAGAUGGCAAAACCAGGAAUAUUGUAUGAGAUUAGUAAAAUAAUGUCAAAAAUAAUUGAUGAAAGUAAGCCCACGAAAGAACAACUCACAUUUCAAAAUUCCUGAAAGGGAUGCGAGAUGCAGCAACUGCGGAAAGGAUCCAUCUUCUGAUGUUGAAUGGAUGAUUGGAACAGUGGAAACAUCAUUUUGCAGAAUCAUUAAAGCUACAUCCCUCAAGGAAUCAUACGGGCUGGCCUAAACAACCCAUUGGCAAGACACAAUGAGUUUAUGGCAACAUCUCAAUUACAUUGUUACACACACACACAUAUGUAUAUAUAGUUCACCUGGAAUACUAUUGAUAGUAGAAGAAUAGCGUUUAUUAUCUACUUUUUAACCCUUAGAUUCCUAGGGUUUAGUGGUGGUAGUUGGAAUGGGCUAGAAAGCUGAUAGUAAACACUAUUUAUUUACUAUCGAUAGUAUUUCAAGGAUAUAUAUAUAUAUAUAUAUAUAUAUAUAUAUAUAGAGAGAGAGAGAGAGAGAGAGAGAGAGAGAGAGAGAGAGUAGAAUACUAUUAAUGGCACCAAGUCAUUGGUGCUAUUAGGUUUUUGGCCCUUGGAUUAAGGAAUGUGUAGUUGAAUGAUAGUGGUCCCCUAGAGUUGAGUGGGUGGUUGGUUGAAUAGUAUGAUCUAAGGGGUAGAAAUGGUCAAAGAGGUAGAUCUAACGGCGGAGAAAGUAAUGCAUGGUUACAAAAGGCAAUUAAGCGUUCAUAAUAGUCAGAGAAAAAAAAAGUCUUAACAAUCUUUUUAUGGCUUGUAAGAAAAUUCCUGGUAAGAAAUGUAAAAGUGAGCUAUCAGCCAACGGACCCCAUUGCAGAGUCUUUAGUGUAAUAGGUAACAAACUAGAGGAAAUCCAUAUGCCUAUGGUUGACAUUACCACCUAUACCACAAUAAACCAUCAGCCUUCAUACCUUCAAUACUAGUCCGCUUUUACUGAAGAAAAGGUUAAAAUACAAGAUUGGUCCCUAGAGUUUCACAUUCAAAUACGCUCACAGGUUUUAGUCCCUGAAGUUUUUUCCAAUAGCUAUUAAUUCUUGGUCCUUUUCAAAGUUUCAAUAGUGAAGGUUAUAUCUUCUAAAAAGAAAUUGUUCAAAAAGUCACUCUGAUGAGAAAAACAUUCUUUUACUGCAAAAAUGAUCAUAAUUACAGACCAACAAAGCCAACUCAUUGGAUAAGAAUCAAGUUCAGUUUCCAAAACAAAGGAAUAACCUGACUUAAUUUGUACUCCCCAUUAUAACCUAAAUUUACCAUGAAUUCAGUCCAGGCAUCUGUUUGAACUGUUUGUAAAUAUUCAGUACUUUAGUUAAAGGCAACUUCCAAGCUAAACAAUUGUAAUUGCAUUAAUAUCAGCCAUACAGGAACUUACAUGCAUUAGAUGCCUUUGAAAUGGUCGACCGUGCCCAUCCAUUUGCCGGUAAAGUUGCUGCUUUCCCCGUUUCCAAGCAGAUAUUGUGUGGGUCUCAAGCUCUUCCUCUGUUAGGUUUGAGCCAUGAUUUCCGAGCUGCAAUAAGCACAAGAUAAUCUUUUAACAACAGUACAGAAUCUACAGACGAGGAAAGAGUAAGGAAGUUGAAACAUAGCACUGAAGAAGUAAAUAUGGCUGACCCAGCAAAUUAAGCAUUUCAUAAGCCUAAUAAGAUAUACUCUAUUGCUUAUACGUAUUACAGAACUCAGAAAGGUUAUUCUGGUCAAAAUGACUUUGCAUUGGACUAGGAAUAAACCCAAAAAUGUAAUAUCUGAAAAUUGGUAUUAGUUAGGUAAGAUGUAGAAUGCAGUUUGACCACAUUCUACUAAUUAUAGAGCUAGUUCUGAUAAGAGAAAGUAAAGCUUAUAAUUAAAAUUAAAUAGCACAAGUAAAUUCAAUUAAGCAUAGAGAAAUGUAACACAUGAUAAGAUAGAGGUCCUUCUUUAAUAAAUACAUUGCGAGUAUAAUAAAGAAUGCAAACAUAUAUUGAAAAUAAAGAUGCCUUUUUGACAAUAAUCUCAGUGAACUCAGCUGCAUGGGACAUACCAAGCGAUGUUAAAUGCGCAAGAAGAAGAGACCAGGAAAAGGAGUAAAAGAUAUUGAAGUACUACCUCUCUCAAUAUUAAUAUGAAGUCCAAUGGGCUAAGUACUCCAACAAAUUGUCCUCUGUAGAAAUCCCACAGAGGAGCAACAGGAAUUCCCUGUAAACAUCAACAUAAGUUGAUUUAGCAUUAAGUGAACACAAAAAAAAGCUGCAAUGUAUGUAAUUUUCUUCUUCUGGACUUUCAUCUUCUGGACUUUCACUAACAAUACCACAAAACUUUAAAAGCUCAGUGUUAGCAUAUUCAUGUCCAAUACGAACUCAGGAAAUAUAAAAGGAUUAAGCACAAAAGGUUUUCGCUUCGAGAUGCAAGCAUGGAAAUCAGAAUGCUUUUGGACAGCCAUAUAUAGGAUGUAGAAACCUUUGGCAUUUAUAGUUGAUAAAGGUCUAUUUAUACACUUCAACUUAACGUAAUACCAGCUCAAGCAUAAUUCCGGGAUGUAUUAACAGGUAACUUCUUCUAAUUGUCCAAAACCCAGCAAAUUAAGAGGGGAGUAAUCUCCAAUGCAAAUCAAGAGGAGGGGAAAUGAACUUCUCAGUCUUCCAAGUGCUGAAUCAAAAUCUUGUAUGUUUGGAAAAAAGGAAAGAUGCACAUGUAACAAGGCAGCAAAGAUUAGGGUUUCAUAUAUGGCAUUACAAGGAGUAUGACAACUUAGAAUAGAAGUACCUGUUCAUAUAGAAUAUGAAAAGCCUGCUUCACGGGCAAAUUAACAUCAAAAGCAAUGACCUGAACGAAUGCUCAAAAAAGGCAAAGUUAUUUCCCUCAUGGCAAAGGCAAAGAUUCAGGAAAACAGAAAAAGGAGGAUCAUCUGUACCUUUCCGGAGUUAGGGAGUAAAUCAUAUGCAGUGUGUCGGGAUAGAAAGUCAGAAACAUGAUGCCUCGAUAUUUCAAUAUCAGUCUCUGAAAUUCUACGAGGGCUCACCUGCACAACACCAUCCAACAGAAUCACCUGCUCAGAAAAUAAAUAAUGGCGGUGCAACAUAGACUAACACUAGAUCCGAUAAUAUCUAGAAAAAAGCUCAUCUCGUCUUCUACAGGAAACAUGCAUACAUUAUUGCGAAUAAAAGAAGUCUGUUCACCACAGUCAUCUGUUCCAGUUACUCAAAUAUCCUAAUUCUAUUUUCUCCAAUCAACUAUGUGCACUACCACCGCAGGCAGCUAUUACAAUAUCCUUAGUUGUAUCUAUACAUAUAUCUAUUUAUUGGCUGCUAUAAAGCUAAAAGUCGUCAAUUGCAGCUUUACAAAGUAUGUGUUCGACAAAUGAGUUUUAUUUUUCUCUUGAGAUGUAUAUUUUAGGUUGCAGAAGUGUUAUUUAUGGCAAGAAAACCAAGUUACACGAGUAAACAAAUCAUUGCAUAGUGUUCUCAAGAUAUUACACUUCCUUGUUUCACCCCUCUAUCUAUGGGACCUAACUCAUACUCUGUACCUGUCAGAUCGUUGGCGCUAACCAUUAAUCCCAAAAGCUCGAGCUGUUAGAAAUACGUAACCAAUUCACUUAAAGCGUACAGAUACAGCGCCCAUGGGUCUUGAUUGUGACUCGGCCCAACUAACCUCACGUCACUUCGAACAUGACUCGGCCCACCCAGCCUCACGCCAUUUCGAAUAUGACUCGGCCCAACAUGGCCUUCCGCUACAAGACAGGAUGCUGGCCCAUUUAAGCCAACAAUCCCUCCCCAAGCACCUGCACACAUUUGCAGCAUGCGGGAACCGAACUCGUGACCUCUGGCUCUGAUACUACUUUGUCGGAUCGUUGGCGCUAGCCAUUAAUCCCAAAAGCUCGAGCUGUUAGAAAUACGGAACCAAUUCAAUUAAAGCGUACAGAUACGGCGCCCACGAGUCUCGAUUGUGACUCGGCCCAACCAGUCUCACGCCACUUCGAACAUGACUCGACCCAUCUAGCCUUACGCCAUUUCGAAUAUGACUUACCCCAACAUGGCCUCCCGCUAUAAGGCGGGAUGCUGGCCCAUUUAAGCCAACAGUACCUACUCAACAAAGAAAUAUAUUUUUUUUCAUGCAUUCUCCACUGUCUAAGUCGUAAUAUGUUAUAUCACGGAAAGUAAUUACUACCAGAAAUGCAAGUAAAUGUUUCAAGACAUCAAAAGUGAAAGAGUAGUGAUACCUACUAAUCAAUAGCUUUCCAAAAGACUACUUGAAACUAAACAUCUCGCAAAUUCUCUUCACACAUGGUUCCAAAGUGGCUAUAAAUAAAUAAAUAAAUAAAUAUAUAUAUAUAUAUAUAUAUAUAGAGAGAGAGAGAGAGAGAGAGAGAGAGAGAGAUUAUAUAUAUAUAUAUAUAGAGAGAGAGAGAGAGAGAGAGAGAGAGAUUUAAAUUUUAAAGAAAUGAAAAAAGUUUAUUACAACAUAUAACAAAUAUCUUUCUUUACGUAGUGCAUUUAUUACCACAACAAAAGUUCACUCGUAUCCUUACCACACUGUCAUUAUCAACAUCCAUGGUCGUCCUAUUUCUAGGCGUGUGAGGGCUCAACAGUGAAGGCAUAGGAUCAACAUCACCAGUCAAAUACAAAGUGUUUACUAUCCCAUACUCUCCGGUCACGAAAGGCUGCCGUUCAUCGUGCCGCCAUUCUCCAUCAACAAAGAAUUUGUACUGCAUGUAUAGAACACAGUAGUAUAAAACUUUAAAUAUUACAGAUGAAACAAUUGUGUCUGAAAGCUUAACUGAAUGGUCAAGCAAACGCACCAAUAUGUUCGCUUUGAAUUUCAUAUUAGCACACAAAUGUCUAGCAAAUAAGCAUUCUAAGCAUUCUAACAGUAAAAAACUUAGACCAGAUAAGUAACCUAAACUAGCAAGGUCUCAAUGCAAGUUAAUGACAUUCAAGGAUUAAAUUUGAGGGUGAAAAAACCAACAUUUAAAUAAGAAAGUUACGGAGGGCAGGGAAAAAAAAAAAAAAAAAGAAGCUACAAAGACUGAAAAAACUACAGAAUUACCUGAUGAAUGCCAGGAGCCAAACUGCAGAUUGCCUGGAAUACAGUAGGACAACCUUCCACAGGAGACAUUGGUAUAAGUUCCGACCACCUAAGGAAAACAUCUUACAGAAAUCAACACAAUACUCGUACGAAAAUUUUCGAGUAAUAAAAUGAUGUGAAAAUAGAGUUGCAAAGAGUAAUUAUCAGUUGACUGUACAGGCUCAUUUUAUUAUUUUUUCCCAUAGUUUUGAUGGCAACAAUGGGCAAGUCAUCUAAUUUAACAAAGGCUGAUUCAACCUAAACAAAUGUUUAAGAUAAACUUUCCUCCAAAAGAAUCAAAGAACAUAAACAACAGAAAAUAGACGUUGCAAACAAGAAUUUUGCAGCCUCAUUAGGUGAACCUGCAAUGUAGUUGAAGUCUACCAAGACAGCUUCUAAGUGUCAAUUGGUCUACGUGCAGUUUUUACAAAAUAAGUGAGAAUACUCACAAAUUCACUGUUCCUCAAGUUAAAUUUCAUGUACCAAUCCUCAAUAAGUAUACACCUCGAAAUCAAUUUGUAUGUAUGCAUGUUUGUUAUGACCUUUAGGAAUAUGCAAAUAAGGGCAAUAAGCAAUAAACAAAUUUGACCAAAAGUUAAAACCUCGACAUCAACUUGUAUGUAUGUUUCAUCUGACCUUUAGGAAUAUGCAAAAAAGGUUAUAAAGCAAUCAGCAAAUUUAAUCAAAUGUUAAAAUGAAAACUAGAUGAAUUUGUGCUGGAGAGUAGAAUUUCAGGUUUACUCUUAAACAUAGAGAAGAAAAGGCUAACAAAUAGGAGAUAUCUUGUCUCAAUAGAAAUUUAUGUAAGAGAUAUCAAUUUUUGUUAUGCCUUCAAUAAUUGCUUGAAGCAGUUAUAUGUUUGUUGACUCUAUUUGACUAAAUGUUAGCUAGUUGAGGAGAGAGAGGGAAGACGAUGAUUUGGUUUGGUUAGCUGAGUUGGUAAAUAUCAUAUAAGUCUACAUUGAUCGAAAGGUUAAUCUAUUGAAAUACAACAGUAGGGUGGAGUAAUUUUACAUCAAGCAUGUUCACCUCAUCACCCAUGCAAACCUCAAAUAGCAAAGAAAAACUUUUGUGUGCUUGGGUAAUCACACCACCCCAUAUAUAACAAGACAAGACCAGGAGAAAUAACUUCUAACUACAUUUAACCAAACAGAAAACUUAUAAUUGACGCACCCCCUACUGCAAGAUAGCCUAAUUGGAUAAGCACAAUUGUAAAUAUUUCAUGUCAACUGCAUGCAUCUCUAAUUGCACAAUAUUUAUGACUACAUACACCAAACGGCCAUUUCCAACUCUAUAUUAGUAUUUAUCAGCAUGCCAUGGAGCACAAGCUAAACUCUCAAACUUUUAAGAGUACAUUCUAACUGCUUGUAGCAACGAUGAAUAAAGCAAAGUAUUUGUUUAACCAUAACAGACUUAUAUUUAAGUUUAUCUAAUUGACCGUCUAAGUCCUCAGACAAUCUGCCCAAAUGCCUAAGCGGAGACUAGGAGUCUAGGGAGCCACCAUGCGUGAUAACCACCUUGAAAAUUUUGAGGAUUACAGGCGGCAGUGUCAUAUACAAUCACAUCUUCAGCUUUUAGUGCAUAGUACAUAUGUCAGCAAAUUGAUUUAGCAUUUUUGUCGCAUCAUUAAAAUUUCAUAUGGUUCAAAUACAAUCGAUGCAUAAGAGCAUUCAAAGUUCAUGUAAACAGAAGAUAAAAGUUGAACACAGAGAAUGAUCAAUAAAGCAAUAACUGCAAACACCAUAUGAAAGCAGUUAAUAAAGAAUGCUACAGUAAUAGACACUUAAUAGAUAUAGAAAGACCUAACCUCCUGAAAGAACCAGUUAGGAGCACCCUAUUCCCACCAUACGGCCAUACGAACCGCGUCAGAAUCUGCACCGCCCCCUCGGCAACCGGCGUGUCUCGAGAAGAAUCCGGCCCCGACGAGAACAUUUCCUUCGAUCCUUUCAACAAGCUUCUAACUGUUAACAAAUUACGGCGUACUCUUUCCUAGUUACCCUAACAACCAUCACCAAUCCAAAGCUCCUCUCCACCAUCAAAAGAGAGGGUAUCCCAACAACAAAAAGCCCUAAUUUAAGGUACCUCUUGCGACGGGAUCCUCCACAGCACGCAGAGGACCCCUCAGUGCUCACACAUUCCACGCAGGGAAGCGGCAAUCCGCCCGCGGUAACAUGAAAGCCCCCUCAAGCUACCUCAAAAGCAGCACCUUUGCGGCACAAAAGCCCCAAAAAUUCAAACAAUUCCCGAGCACCACCACACUAAGCCCCUUNAAAGAAUCUCUCUAGGAGCUUACAAACAACAGCACAAUUACCAGCCCUCCUUUCCAGACAACUUUGUGGUAAAUUUGAGGCAAGUUGGUGGGGUUAUUUAUAAUAGCCCAAGGAGAUGAGAGAGAGAGAGAGAGAGAGAGAGAGAGAGAGAGAGAGAUGGGUCGGAAAAGAGACGACGACAAUGGAGAGAGAGAGAGAGAGAGAGAGAGAGAGGGGAAAAGGGAGUUGAAGGGGGGGAGAAGCAAUACGAAUGUAUGCGGGAGGGGAUGCGUGCGUUUGUACGCAGGACAGUGGAUUAUGCGGACGCAGGUUGGGACAAUGCAAUCCACCAACCAAUCAGAAGCGGGGUAAAUGUACACGCCCCUCCAAUUUUUUUUUUAAGCUCAACGACUUAAAAAAAAAAAAAAAAAAAAAAAAAAAAAAAAAAAAAAAAAAAAAAACCCGAAAGGCUUGGUGAUUGAUAUUCGAGGUCCAAGUUUGAAUCAUAGUUGAAUCACACUUUCAGCUAAGUUAUUUCUAAAUGAAAUAAACGAAGUGGAUAGUAUACUACCUAUCUCUUAGAAAAAAAAAAAUAAAAUAAAAUAAAAGAAAGAGUUCAACCAACUCCCUAUAAAGAUAUCGAAAUAUAUUUCUAUUAAAAUUUAAUUUUUUAUAUUUAUUUCUACAAAAGUUGAGUGAUAUUCAUAUUUGCUGUUCUGAUUUGUUAUCACUACUCUCUAAUAGUUCCAAUUGUUAAACUUAUACAGAAAUAUCCUUCCAAAAAUUUUCGACGGUCAUCAUCUUUAUUUCUAUCAUCACAAAUAAUAUAAGAGGGGCAAAAAGUCAAUUUACCUUAUUUAUUAAGACUUCGUUUGGGAUCGCGGGGAGAUUGCAUUACAUGCUGUGAAAAAGUACGUUGGAAAAAUACUUUAUUUGUUUCCGUACGUAAUCCUGCGUUCCGCAUAUCGCCAUGAGUCGAUUAUGAUAUAUUUUCUAGAAUUUCACUGGAGAACGCAGAAAAAUAUCCCUAUAUACUUUUUCUCCAACUUCAUUUUAUCUAAUAGCAUUAGAUGGGCUUCAAUACUAAACUAAGUCUAACUAUAUUUUUCUAAUGAGUCCUAACAGUGGGAAUAUAUUUAAAAACGUUAAGACUUUUGUGGAAAUAAAUAUGAAAAAUAAAAUUUUAUAGGAAUAUAUCUGCUAUUCGAUAUAUUUACAUAGAACUGUAUACGACAAACCUUUUUUUUAAUGAGAUUGUUAGGAUUAUGUGUAGAUUUUUUUGAGUUAUUAGGAUUAUAUCUGUGUUGUUAGAAUUUUUAUGAAAUUAUUUGAAUUAUUAUAUAUGAAAAAUAUUUAGAGUUGGAACUCUAAUUAACGGUUUGGUUCAAAGUAAAAUUGUGAAAAUUAAUUUUUUGAAAAAAAAAUUUGGUGGAAUUUUUUUUUUUAACAUUUUAAGUUUUUGAUUUGUAGGGAAAAAAAAAAGUUUUCCACUAACAUUUGUUUGGUUGAAUAGAAAAAAAAAANAAAUGCUCGGUGAAUGGUAUUCGAGGUCUCAAGUUUGAAUCGUAGUUGAAUCACACUUUCAGCUAAGUUAUUUCUAAAUGAAAUAAACGAAGCGGAUAGUAUGCUAUUUAUCUCUCAGAAAAAAAAAAGAAAAAAGAAAAAAAGAAAGAGUUCAACCAACUCCCUAUAAAGAUAUCGAAAUAUAUUUCUAUAAAAUUUAAUUUUUCAUAUUUAUUUCUACAAAAGUUGAGUGAUAUUCAUAUUUGCUGUUCUGAUUUGUUAUCACUACUCUUUAAUAGUCCCAAUUGUUAAACUUAUACAUAAAUAUCCUUCCAAAAAUUUUUGACGGUCAUCUUCUUUAUUUCUAUCAUCACAAAUAAUAUAAGAGGGGCAAAAAGUCAAUUUACUUUAUUUACUAAAACUUCGUUUGGGAUCGCGGGAAGAUUGUAUUACAUGCUGUGAGAAAUUACGUUGGAAAAAUACUUUAUUUGCUUCCGUACGUAAUACUGUGUUUCGCAUAUCGCGAUGAGUCGAUUAUGAUAUAUUUUCUAGAAUUCCACUGGAGAACGCAGAAGCAUAUCUCUAUAUACUUUUACCCCAACUUCAUUUUAUCUAAUAGCGUUAGAUGGGCUUCAAUACUAAACUAAGUCUAACUAUAUUUUUCUAAUAAGUCCUAACAGUGGGAAUAUAUUUAAAAACGUUAAGACUUUUGUAGAAAUAAAUAUGAAAAAUAAAAUUUUAUAUGAAUAUAUCUGCUAUUCGAUAUAUUUACAUAGAACUGUAUACGACAAACCCUUUUUUUAAUGAGAUUGUUAGGAUUAUGUGUAGAUUUUUUUGAGUUAUUAGGAUUAUAUCUGUGUUGUUAGAAUUUUUAUGAAAUUAUUUGAAUUAUUAUAUAUGAAAAAUAUUUAGAGUUGGAACUCUAAUUAACGGUUUGGUUCAAAGUAAAAUUGUGAAAAAUAAUUUUUUGUAAAAAAAAUUUGGUGGAAUUUUUUUUUUUUUAAACAUUUUAUAGUUUUUGAUUUGUAGGGAAAAAAAAAAGUUUUCCACCAACAUUUGUUUGGUUGAAUAGAAAGAAAAAAUUCAUAUUUGCUUGGUUUGGUAGAAAAGAAGAUGAAAGAAAAAAGUUUUAUGCAAUUUGAAUUUUCGUUUUCCGCCAAAGCGAAAUUUUAAUUUUUUUUCAAAUCCGAAAAAAUAUUUUUAUGUUGAACCAAACAAACGAAAAAGCAUUUUUUAUACGGAAAUUAUUUUUCGGUUUAUUUUACGCGGGCAUGUUUGUUUCAACGAAACUAGACUUCGGGUUGAAAUGGAGUUCGGUGAAAACUACUACUUUUCCGUUGUUUGUUUCGUAGUUAUGGAAGUGAUAUUUCAUUAGUUCUGCUGUUUGUUUUGUAAGAAAUGUAGGAUGUAAAACUAUAAUUUAUAUAUAAAUAAUAAAUAUUUUAAUAAAUAAAGAUAACAAAAUUAUAUUUUUAUAUAAUUAAAAUUUAAUUUAAAAUAACUAAAUUAUUUUUUUAUACAAAAAUUAUAGUAAUACAUUAAUAAAAUUAUAAAGUAAAAAAUAUUAAAAUUGAACUAAUCAAUUUUUAUCAUAUUUUAAAUAUACCAACUAAAAAAAUAGUAAUUAGUAAUAUAAUUAAAUAUAUUUAAAUAUAAUUAUAUUUAUCUAUUAUAUUAUUUUAUUAUUUUUUUUACUUUUUUUUUUUUACCAUAAUUAACUUCGGCUCACGAUGGCCGAAGUCAAUUACGCCGUUUGAGGUUAACUCGAGUUCCGACCGUAACUUUUUUACGUCGAGCCAAAACAACGGAAGUGGUCGCUUAUAGCAAAACCAACUUCUCACCUCUCCACUUUCACCCAACUUCCACCC
Molecule: long non-coding RNA, 47630 nt
Filed under: Ananas comosus (pineapple)
Lineage: Eukaryota; Viridiplantae; Streptophyta; Magnoliopsida; Poales; Bromeliaceae
Description: long non-coding RNA (ACOM_LNC032340)
Source: RNAcentral